CCCGAAUCGGGUUUCCUGUAUUAAUGGAAACAUCCCUAAAACCGAUGCUCUACGUUGAGGGAAAUAGAUAUUUCCUUUGAGGUGAAUGUCGGGUCGGGGAGGGGGGCGGGGGGCGGGGGGCGGGCGGUGCAUUUUUCGACCCAGGUGAAGGAGGCUCGAUUAUCCGUAAGACGAUUGCUGAUAUUUCUUAGCCGGGAGCCUGCCCUUUUAUAUAGCAUUGAAUGGCGGGAGUUUGGCUGAACCAGUUUAGGUAGGUGUUUUAACUGACACGAAGCUUUUCAUAGAACCGAUAAAGCAAAUCUGUGCAGACUGAACGGGAAUAUGUGUGGCUUCCUAGAGCUUUGCUGUUGUCUGGGAGUGUGUCGGGGUUUUUGUUUGUUGGAUUGACUUUUUUUUUUUUUUUUGCGAAGUUUGCUUUUCUAGACGUAAAUUGCGGUGGUCACCCUUUGUAAAUUUCCUGCGCGCCUCAGUGUAGUGCUUCCCACAGUCCAAACAGCAGUGUCAGCAUCAUCAGGGAGUUUCUUGGAAAUACAAAUGUGGGGGAAAUACAAAUUUCAGACUUACUGGAUCAGAAUCUCCCCCGGGGCGGGGGGAGGGCGGGCAGGAAUCUUUUAAUAAACCGUGAGUGAGUCUAAUGUUUGGUAGAGAACCACUGCUCUAAUGAGUUUGACCAAUCAGAAGAAAAUCUGGCCUUCAGUUUUGCUCCCUCCAGGGGGAUACAUAGAAAAAAAAAAUGCUGGAAAGUAGGAGGUGACAAAGUUUGGGAAAUCAUUUCUGUUUCCUUAUAGGACCGUCAGAAGUGCAACAAUGUAAGGGGAGAAAUUAUUAAACUCCGAUCAUAAACACCUGUUGUGUGAAUACUGCUUUAAAUAUCUGUGGCUUGUCUCCUAUUUUCUUUUUUUAAUUAGCUGUAACAGUAUCUUAGCUGCAGGUGUGCAACAUAAUGACUUGAUAACAGUAUGUUUGUUUCAGGUAUACAACAUCAUGAUUUGUGCAAUUGCCUGCUACUUUUUUUUUUUAGUUUAUUUAUUUAUUUUUAAGAGAGAGUGGGGCAGGGGCUGAGAGGGGCACAGAGGAUCCAAAGCAGGCUCUGCGCUGACAGCAGAGACCCGGAUGUGGGGCUCCAACUCACACACCCGGGGAUCAUGACCUGAGCCCAAGGCAAAUGCUUAACCAACCAACUGAGCCACCUGGGCGCCCCGCCUCCUACUUUCUAAAUCGCAUCUCUUCUCCUUUGUUUCUUUUGUUAUUGUUCUCAUUUCAUCUUUUAAUUUUUGAAAUUAAGAUUUUUUUGGUUUCGUUUCUGGGGAACAUAAACAUGCAGCUUGUUAACCUUAAAAAUAAACAGCUACUUUGCCAGCAAACACAAAAAAGGGGGGUUUGUUUGAGAAUAGCAGAGAAUUACACUGGGGGACAAGCAAGCAAUGGGAAAAUCACAGGCAAAUCCACAGAGCAAAAGAAAGGAUUGCCAGUGUAUAGAGGAAAAGGGGAACGGGGGACGGCUUUUAUAAAUUGGAAGUCCAUCGGAAUGCACUGGGAGUUGGAAGCAUGGUGGUUUUCAUUGGCUGAGCUGUUGCCUGGGCAGAGGAAAACCUUUCUCCUACUGGGGUAGUCAAGUAAUAGCAAAAGUAAAUGGACUUGCAAGGUAGGCUCUUCCUGUUGUGUCCGCAAUGGACUAGGAGUGCUAGGGUGUGAAAGCACCGGCUGCUGACCUCUCAGCUUCAUUUUAGUGAGAUUUCCUUGUGUUGAUACAGAUUUAAAAGGCAUCGACCUAGUACAAAGUUUCCAAAUUUGCAGCUGCCGUAGGCUCCUUGUGUGGUUUGUUUAGUCCAGUGUAUUUUUCUCCUUCACUUAAGUAAUUUCACAUUAAAAAAAAAAAUGACAGACUAUUGUGAAAGACUGGGAAAUCUGAUAUUGAAAUUAUAAACAAAUGUCAAAAAUAAUAUCCUGAAUAGUUUGAAUUUUUUCAUUGAAUAUGUACUGGAUAGUAAAACAGACAGUCAUAAGUGCCACGAAGAAAACAAAAGGGUGAAAGGAUCAAAAUUGAUGAGGGCUAUUCCUUUAGACAGCAUGGUCAGAGUCUCUCUGGGUGGGGAACAUUUGACCACAGCAGAGUUAGGGGGCCCCAUUUAGUUGAAAGGUUCUGAACUGAGAGUCAGAGUCUGAAUGGCUUUUUUUUUUUUUUUUUUAAGUUAUUUUGAGAGAGAGCGAGAGCGUGCAAGUGGGGUGGGGCAGAGAGAGAGGAGAGAUAGAGAAUCCGAAGCAGGCUCCACAUUGUCAGUGCAGAGCCUCGUGCAGGGCUUGAACUCAUGAACCGUGAGAUCAUGACUUGAUCCGAGAUCAGAGGUAGAAUGCUUAACCGACUCAGCCACCCAGGCUCCCCUAGGGUCUGAAUGUUUUUGGUGAACAGUUAGGGUCACCGGCUCUCAAACAUCUAUUUGUAUGCAUUUAGUUUAAAAAAAGAAAUUUUUUUUUUUUGAGAGAGACAGAGCGAGCAAGGGAGGAGCAGAGAGAGAAGGGGGAGAGAGAAUCCCAAGCAGGCUCCACAGUGUUAGCACGGAACCCUCACGAACCAUGAGAUCAUGACCUGAGCUGAAACCAAGAGUUGGAUGCUUAACCAACUGAGCCACCCAGGUACCCCUGUAUGAAUUUAGUUUUUAGAGGAAAAGGAGUAUUCAAGAAAAAGGUAGAUGCACAGUAUCCAAAAUCAGAUAUAGGAAGAGAAGAUGUUUAGGCCUCAGCUUGGUGCCAUGGAUUAGGUUUUAACUUUUAGUAUAGUACUUAAUAUUUUAGAGAUCAGAGCUCCCUCUGAAAAGUAGAUGAAAUCUAUGGUCUCUGUUCCCCUAAAAGUACACAUUGUGUAUAGUAGAAGCUCUUCCUAAACACUGUCCACUUAACGUUUUUAAUAUUUUUUCUGAAAUAUGCAGCUGAUCCCUGGGAAGUACUAAAGAAAGUACUACACAGCUAGUAGCCUUCACUUUGGUUCACUCCUGUGUAUCUGCGUCCCCCAGUUGAGAAGAAUGCUUAGCAAGAGUUGGUUAUGUUUGUUACCAAUCUAUUUCCAUCAUACUCAUAAUUAUGUAGCUAAAUUACACAAAUUGAUAAAAUUUGAGUCUGCAAAGAAAAAGAACUGUUUCUAAGAAAACCAAGAAGGUCGGGGUGCCUGGGUGGCUCAGUUGGUUAAGCGUCCGACUUCAGCUCAGGUCAUGAUGUCGCGGUUUGUGAGUUUGAGCCCCGUGUCGGGAGCCUGGAGCCUGCUUCGGAUUCUGUGUCUCCGGCUCUCUCUGCCCCUCCCCCACUUGUGCUCUGUCUCUGUCUAUCAAAAAGAAAUAAAAUGUAAAAAAGAAAACCAAGAAUGCUUUGGAAAGACGGGAUAAAGAUGAAUGCUAAUAAAAAAUAGCUAUUCAUGUUAUUUUCUACCUUUUGUGUUGUGUAAGGCUUUAGAUUGUAUUUUUUCAACGUGGGUCAUUUUAACUGCAAAGAUAGUUCCAUCAAAAGGCAAAGAUGUUCAAAAUUUAAUACUGUGCAAUUAAGAUGUAAAGACACUAAUUGUAUAAAUGUCUGUUUUUAUAUCUUGUCCACAACGAUCAUUUCUUCUCCCUCUCAUCAUUAACAAAUGUUUAAAUAAAUUGCUUAAAACUUAAAAAAAAAAAAACUAUUGAAUUGGGUGUAGGCAAAGUGGUUAUGAGCAACUAGAAAGACUUUUUUUUUCUAAGUUUUUUCACUCAUUUUGAGAGAGAGUGAAACCAUGGUAGGGGAGAGGCAGAGAGGGAAGGAGAGAGAGAGAAUUCCAAGUAGGCCCCAAUGCGUGGCUCAAACUCACAAACUGUGAGAUCAUGACCCGAGCCGAAACCAAGAGUCAGACACUCAACUGACUGAGCCACCAACAAGCCCCCUAGAAAGACUUUUUAAAGCCCCAGGUCUGGUAGGAUUCUGCAUUCGAUUUGAUUUGCAGGAGUCUUUGACUUGUCUCUACUUUGAACAAAAUGAAACAAAGUCAAAUGUAAAGCACUAGGCAUAUAGUUUGUGCAAGAACUCCAAUCAGACGGACCAUACUCAAGAGGAAGGCCUUGGAGAAUGACAAGGGAGUACAUAUCUAGGUAAAAAUAAUAUUCUUUUUUUCCCUAAGUUAGAAUUCCAAGGUUUCGUUUUUUUUCCUUUAAUUUUAUUUUUUAAAUUUACAUCCAAAUUAGUUAGCAUAUAGUGCAGCAAUGAUUUCAGGAGUAGAUUCCUUAGUGCCCCUUACCCAUUUAGCCCAUCUCCCCUCCCACAAUCCCUCCCAUAACCCUCAGUUUGUUCUCCAUAUUUAAGAGUCUCUUCUGUUUUGUCCCCCUCCCUGUUUUUAUAUUUUUGUUUCCCUUCCCUUAUGUUCAUCUGUUUUGUCUCUUAAAGUCCUCAUAUGAGUGAAGUCAUAUGAUUUUUGUCUUUCUCUGACUGAUACUUUCACUUAGCAUAAUACCCUCCAGUUCCAUCCACGUAGUUGCAAAUGGCAAGAUUUCCUUCUUUUUGAUUGCCGAGUAAUACUCCAUUGUGUGUGUGUGUGUGUGUGUGUGUGUGUGUGUGUGUGUAUACCACAUUUUCUUUAUCCAUUCAUCCAUCAAUGGACAUUUGGGUUCUUUCCAUACUUUGGCUUUUGUCGAUAGUGUUUCUAUAAACGUGGGGGUGCAUGUGUCCCUUCGAAACAGCACACCUGUGUCCCGUGGAUGAAUGCCUACUAGUGCAAUUGCUGGGUCGUAGUUCUAUUUUUAGUUUUUUGAGGAACCUCCAUACUGUGUUCCGGAGUGGCCGCACCAGCUUGCAUUCCCCAAAAAUAAUAUUCUUGAGGCAUAUAUAUUGAUAAGGAUACAGGUUAGGCUUCAUGUGACAGAUACCCAAAAUAAUAGUGAUUUACUCCAGAGAAAAGUUUUUCUUUUCUUUCACAUAAAAGUGUUAAUUAGCAUGGCUGUCUGCGGCCACAAACCUCCAAAUUAUAGUGACUCCGACACAAUAGAAAUUUAUUUAUCACUCACAGAUGGUUCAAAUGGAUGAUCCUGGUCACUGGGUAGCCCUCCUCUACAGAGUGAUUCAGGGAUCCAGGUUUUUCCAUCUUGUAGUUCUGCUAUUUUCAUAACUUUCUGUGUCUUAUCUAGAGGAAUGGGCAAGGCACUGGAACCUGCAUAGCCACAUUUUAAAAGCCUUGGUCUGAAAAUUCCACACAUCAUCUCUCACAUUCUGUUGGCUGUAACUCUGUUACCUGGCCACAUCUAACUGUUAGGGAGGCUGAGAAACAGCCUGGUGGAAAUCGGCUGGAAGUCUGUUUGUUCAGCUAAAAUCAGAGUUUCUGUAACUGUAACAGUUAACCAUUGCUUUGUAACAAAUCGCCCCAAAAUGUAACGGCUUAAAGCAAGAAACAUUUACUUCACAGUUUCUGUGGAGCAAGAAUCUGGAGGCAGCUUAGUCUAGGUGUUGGCCAAGGCUCUAUUUGGAGAGGAGUGCUUCUGGGCUCACUCUGUUGGCUGUCAGCAGCCUCAGAAGAUCCACUUCCAAGCUCACUCACAAGGCCAUUGGCAGCCAUCAAGUCCUUGUUGGCUAUUGCCGGAGGAAUUGAUUGCGUGUCCUGUGGGCUUCUUCAGAGGGCAGCUCAUAACAUGCAAGCUGGAACAGAGGAGGAAGGGGAGAAAGCAAGAGAAUGAGCAAGAUGAAAGCCAGAAUCUUUUUGUAACUUAAUCUCAGAAGUGAUAUUCUAUCACUUUUGCCAUAUUCUUUUGUUAGAAGCAAGUCAUAGGCCCAGUCCACAUUCAAGGGAGUGGAUUUCACAACACGAAUACCGGGAGGCAGGGACUCAUAGGUUGUAUUUAAAAAAAUUUUUUUUUUCAGCGUUUAUUUAUUUUUGGGACAGAGAGAGACAGAGCAUGAACGGGGGAGGGGCAGAGAGAGAGGGAGACACAGAAUCGGAAACAGGCUCCAGGCUCCGAGCCAUCAGCCCAGAGCCUGACGCGGGGCUCGAACUCACGGACCGCGAGAUCGUGACCUGGCUGAAGUCGGACGCUUAACCGACUGCGCCACCCAGGCGCCCCUCAUAGGUUGUAUUUUAGAUGCUGUCAUUAAUUACUCUGAGAGAAGGGAAAGCAGAUGACUGAGAAACAAGCGACCUAUUCCAGUGUAUUUAUUUUUCUUUUUUAUGAUUCCACACUUCAGUAAGCUUUUUCAAUUAACCAACCAAUUCCAAAUAUGUUGGAUAAUAAUAAAAACUAACACUUUAACAAGUGUCAAGCACCAAUUUUAGUCCUUUAUUUGUAUUAUCUUGUUAAAAUGCUGAAACCAACCCUUUGAGGUAAAUGCAUUUUUUUUUGAACAAUUUAUAGACCAAGAAAUUGAAAGCACAGAGAAUUAAAAAAAAUUUUUUUUUAACUUUCAUUUAUUUUUUAGAGAGAGAGAGAGAGAGACAGAGCAUGACCAGGGGAGGGGCAGAGAGAGAGAGACAGAAUCUGAAGCAGGCUCCAGGCUCUGAGCUAUCAGCACAGAGCCUGACCUGGGGCUCAAACCCAUGAACUGUGAGAUGACCUGAUCCAAGCCGACGGCUUAACCGGCUGAGCCACCCAGGUGCCCUGAAAGCACAGAGAAUUUAAAUAACUUGGCCAAGGGCACACAACCUCUCCACACUCCUCACUCUGUCUCUUCACUCAGGCAGUCCACUGGACCCCACCAUGGUUCUGUCCCUGUCCCACAGCCUAGAAACUCUCUUAGGUCAGAAAACUGGGUUGGUCACUGGGCUCAUUCAUUUGUUUCCUGUUUCUCAGGCAGUACUAUCCUCCAUUGCUUGACUUCCUCACAGAUGACCUCACUAAUGCUGACCAGGAAGUCCCAGGCUGAUUGGUUUAAAAUUCCACUCCUGGGGGAGGCCGAGACUGCAGUUCAGUUCGGUAUGAAGUGUUGGUGGGGCUUCAUAAAAGUGACACUCCACUUUGGGCCUGUUGUUUGUUUUUAGCACUCCCUUAGAUGGACUCCAUAGCAGAGAAGAACAUAGGAUCAUUCACAGGCACCCAUGACGCACACCCGUAAGUUUCCGGAAAUAACAAAGGAAGAGACAGUGGGUAAAGGAGCAGUCCUGUGACAUUUGAACUGUUAAUAUUGAGGUGUUGUCAUUCCUAACCGUGGGCUCGUGGUGCCUGAGGAAGUUUGAGUUAUAAAUAAAAAGUAUGUUCUGGAAUAGAAGAGUGCACAGAGAUGGUAUUGACUUUCUCUAAGGAACUCCAUGCAGCUUCACAGGUCGAGCUAAGACUUGAAGGAGAGAUGGGAGUUCACCAGUGUCAGGUGAGAGGUAGGACGAGAAGGGGGGAGGGAAUUGUUUGUGCUGUGGGUGACAGCAUAAAAGACCACAGCAUGUUCUGGAAUGUGAACAUGGCCCUAUAAAGCUCAAGUUGAGGGGUGCCUGGGUGGCUCAGUCAUUUGAGCCUCUGGCCCUUGAUUUUGGCUCAGGUCAUGAUUUCACGGUUCUUGGGAUUGAGCCCUCUGUGCUGUCAGCACAGAGCCUGCUUGGGAUUCCCUCUCUCCCGCUCUGUCUGUCUCUCUAAAUAAAUAAAUAAACAUUUAAAAAACACCCAAGUUGAGAAUUGUCUUAUAAACUGUGUUGUCUAAAUGGAGUGUCUCUCAAUCAGAUGGGGCCCCAGAUGUGGGGCAAUGAUCAGGUGGAAGCAGGUGGUGCAAGAGGUGAAAGGAUUCGCCUGGGUCAGAACAAAGGCAAUAAAAGUUUAUUGAAAAGUUUAUUGAAUAUGUCCUGGGGGGCAGGACAGCAGAGAGGCUAUCUGAAACAAGGUAGUGGGAGGAGGUUGUUUUUAAGGAAGGAAGGUGAGGAGGUAUGGCGAAGUAUGGAAUUCUCCCUUUUUGGUAACUAUGCUUGGUUGUAAGUAUCCCAUUGGUCCCUUAGGGCCUAUGGACGUUUUGAGGUGAGUCGCCUGAUGGGCCUGUCUGUACCCAGCCUGGUGGUUGCUGCGGGCCCUUUCUACAUUCUUUCCCUCAAGCCUGCUUGCCUAAAAGUGGCCUCUACAUAAAUGAGACGUAGAAGGAUGGACCGAUGAUUGGGUUCUAUUUGUUGGCAUCCUUUGAAGCUUGGGAUGAAUUUCUCCAUGAGAGAAUUUAAUUUGCAUCUGCUGGGUUUCCUGGGAGUCCACUAAUCCAAGAUCACUCUAAAAUUCUCACUUUGAGGUUUUUAAUACUACCAAGACAAUAAGAAUUUGGCCUGUAGGCUGGCUUUCAGUUCUAAAGUUUUGUUGUUUCUGUUAAGAUUUUAUUUUUAAGUAAUGUGUACAUCCAACAUGGGGCUCAAACCUACAACCUUGAGAUCAAGAGUCCCAUGCUCCACCAGCUGAACCAGCCAGGUGCCCCUCAGUUCUAAGUUCUUGUCUGUGAUUUCCUCCCUUUGCUCAGGACCAACAUUUGAAUUUAUUUAUUUGCUUCUGUAGUCCUCUGGAGCCAGGGGUGGAAAUUUUUUAGUGAAGAAGUUUAUCCAGAUACCUAGGUCACCAAAUAAUCAGAAACAGAAUGAAAACUGUCUUUUGAAAAGGCUAGCGUUUUAUUUACUGUCACCUUAUAUGCUGAGAAAACUAUUUCCAGAUUUCUUUGCUUUAUAAAAUUUGGGUAAAGGAAAGAACGUGGAAAUGGCUAAUCCAAUGACAGAGAGCUGGACUUUUGCAAAUAUUUUUAAUCUACUUACCACCAAUGGGCCUUGAAUGCCAGAGCAAAUUUAGUCUGGUCUCUAGGUUAGUGGCAAGAACAAUAAAUUUGAAGGCUUGCGUCCAAUGCCAGCAUUGUUACACAUAAAGUUUGUGACUUUGGGGAUUCAUUCCUCCCCUGUAAAACACAGGACACGAAUGCAUACUGUACCUAUUACAUUCUAGGGCUACCAUAACAAAAUGCCACAAUCUGGGUGGCUUAAAACAACAGAAAUUUAUUGUCUGACGGCUCUGGAGGCUGAAAGUCCAAAGUCAAGGUGCCAGCAGGGACAUGCUGUCUCUGAAAAAUUUACGAAAGAAUCCUUCCUUGCCUCUUCCUGAUUUGAGGUUCCUUCCUCAGUGCCUUGGCUUGCAGUGACCUCACCUCAACCUCUGCCUCUGUCAGUUACAUGGUGUUCUCCCUGUAUGUAUAUGCAAAUUUCUGUUCUUAGUAAGGACAUCAGUUAUUAAGGGUUCGCACUACUCCGGUAGGACAUCAUUUUCAUUAACUGAUUAUUUCUAUAACAAUUCUAUUUCCAAAUAAGAUCACCUCCGGAAACACUGGGAGCUAGGACUCCAACGUUCCUUUUUGUGGAAUUCAACCCAACUCAUAACAACUAUCUUCUAGGUCACUCCUUCCUCUGUUCCUCACAACACAUCAUAGGUAUUGUAUAUACCUUAGUUUAACACUUCUCGUUUUUUUUUUUAAGGCUGCUGACCUUUUUUAAAAAAAAAUACCGGUAUAAUUAACAUACAAUGUUAUGCUGGUUUCAUGUGUACAGUACAGUGAUUCAACAAUUCUAAAUGUAGGGGCACCUGGGUGACUCAUUUGGUUAAGUGUCCAACUUCUGCUCAGGUCAUGAUCUCCCGGUUUGUGGGUUCAGGCCCCACAUCUGUCAGCACUGAGCCCGACAGCACUGGAGCCUGCUUCAGAUUCUGUGUCUUCCUCUCUCUGCCCCUCCCCUGCUCACACUCUGUCUCUCUCAAAAAUAAACAUUUAAAAAUUUUUAAAGAAAACAGAAAACAAUUCUAAACAUUACUCCGUGCUCAUCAAUGUAAGUGUACUCCUAAUCCACUUUUCCUAUUUCACCCAUUCCCCCAUGCACCUUCCUUCUGGUAACCGUCUGUUUGUUCUCUAUAGUUAAGACACUGUUUUUUGGUUUGUCUCUUUUUUAAUUUGUUUGUUGUUUUGUUAAAUUUCACAUGAGUGAAAUUAUAUGGCAUUUGUCUCUCUCUGACUUACUCCACUUAGCAUUAUGCCCUCUACAUCCAUCCAUGUUGUUGCAAGUGACAAGAUUUCAUUCUUUGUUUUAUGGCUGAAUAAUAGUCGUGUGUGUGUGUGUGUGUGUGUGUGUGUUUGUGUGUGUGUGUGUGUGUCUGGGUGUCUGUGUGUACCGCAUCUUCUGUAUCCACUCCUCUAUCAGUGGAUACUUGGGCUGCUUCUAUAGUUUGCCUAUAGUAAAUAAUGCAGUAAACAUAGGUAUGCCUAUAUCUUUUUGAUUUGGUGUAUUCAUAUUCUUUGGGUAAAUACCCAGUAGUGGAAUUACUGGAUCGUAUGGUAAUUCUGUUUUUCAUUUUUAUGAGGAACCUCCUCCAUACGGUCUCCCAACAGUGGCUGCACCAUUUUGCAUUCCCACCAAUAAUACACGGGGGUUCCCUUUUUUCUACAUCCUUGCUAAUCCUUGUUGUUUCUUAUGUUUUUGAUUUUAACCAUUCUGACAGGUGUGAGGCGACACCUCGUUGUAUUUCUGAUUUGUAUUUCCCUGAUGAUGAGGGAUGUUGAGCAUCUUCUCAUGUGUCUGUUGGCCAUCUGGAUGUCUUCUUUGGAGAAGUGUCUGUUCAUAUCUUCUUGUUUUUUAACUAGAUCAUUUUUUAGUGUUGGGUUGUAUCAGUUCUUUGUAUAUCUUGAAUACUGACCAUUUAUCAGCUAGCUAUGUCAUUGGCAAAUAUCUUCUGCCAUUAGUAGGUUGUCUUUUUGGUUUUUUCAUUGUUUCCUUUGCUGCUCAGAAGCUUUUUGUUUUGAUGUAGCCCCAGUACUUUAUUUCUGCUUUUAUUUCCCUUGCCUCAAGAGAUAUAUCUAGAAAGAAGUUGCUGCGGCCACUGUCAGAGAAAUUACUCUCUGUGUUCUCUUCCAGGCUUUUUAUGGUUUCAGACCUUAUGUUUAGGUCUUUAAUCCAUCUUUAUUUUUUUUUUAAUUUUAUAACAUUUAUUUAUUAUUGAAAGAUAGAGACAGAGCGUGAGCAGGGGAGGGGCAGACACACACACACACACACACACACACACACACACACACACACAAUCUGAAGCAGGGUCCAGGCUCUGAGCUGUCAGCACAGAGCCCGACGCGGGGCUCGAACUCACAAACCGCGAGAUCAUGACCUGAGCCAAAGUCGGACGCUUAACCGACUGAGCCACCCAGGCGCCCCAUCUUGAGUUUAUUUUUGUGUUUGGUGUGAGAAAGUGGUCCGGUUUCAUUCUUUGCAUGUAGCUGUCCAGUUUUGCCAGCAAUGUUGAAGAGAUCAUGUUUUCCCCAUUGUGUAUUCUUGCCUCCUUUGUCAAAGAUUAAUUGACUAUAUAGUUAUGGGUUCUCUAUUCUUUUAAUUUAUAUGUCUGUUUUUGUGUCAGUACCAUACUGUUUUGGUUACUACAGUUUUGGAUUAUAUCUUGAAAUCUGGGAUUGUGAUAACUUCAGUUUUGUUCUUCUUUUUCAAGAUUGCUUUGGCUAUUUGGGGGUCUUUUGUGCUUCUGUACAAAUUUUAGGAUUAUUUAUUGUAAUUCUGUAAAAAAUGAUGUUAAAAGUAUUUUGAUAAGGAUUGCAUUAAGCCUAUAGAUUGCUUUGGGUAGUAUGGACAUUUUAACAAUAUUCUCCCAAUCCAUGACCAUGUAAUAUCUUACCAUUUAUUUGUGUCAUGUUCAAUUUCUUUGAUCAGUGUUUUAUAGUUUUCAUAGUACAGGUCUUUCACCUUCAUGUUUAAGUUUAAUUCUAGCUAUUUUAUUAUUUUUGGUGCAGUUGUGAAUGGGGUUGUUUCCUUCUUCUACGUCAUCAUUAAUGUAUAGAAAUGCAACAUAUUUCUGUAUAUUGAUUUGUAUCCUGCAAACAUACUGAAUUCAUUGAUCAGUGUUAGUAGUUUUUUUGGUGGAGUCUUCAGAAUUUUCUACAUACGGUAUCAUGUCAUCUGCAAAGAGUGAAAUGUUUACUUUUUCCUUACAAAUUUGGAUGACUUUUCUUUCUUUAUGUUGUUUAAUUGCUGUGACUUGGACUUCCAGUACUAUGUCGACUAGAAGUAGUAAGAAGUGGACAUCCUUGUCUUGUUCCUGACCUUGAGGGGAAAGCUCUCAGUUUUCCCCAAUUGAGUAUGAUGUUAGCUGUGAGUUUUUCAUAUAUGGCCUUUAUGAUGUUGAAGUAUGUUCCCUCUAAACCUACUUUGUUAAGUUUUUUUUUUUUUUAACCAGGAAUGGAUGCUGUACUUCUGAUGCAUUUCUGCAUCUACUGAAAUGAUCAUAUGGUUUUUAUCCUUUUUCUUGUUGAUGUGAUGUAUCAUGUUGAUUGAUAUGUAAAUAUUGAUCCAUCCUUGCAUCCCUGGAAUAAAUCCCACUUGAUUAUGGUGAGUGAUUUUUUUAAUGUGUUGUUGGAUUUGGUUUGUUAAUAUUUGGCUGUGGAUUUUGCAUCUAUGUUCAUCAGGGAUAUUGGCCUGUAGUUCUCUUUUUUUUUUUUGUAGUGUCUUUAUCUGGCUUUGGUAUCAGGGUAAUACUGGCCUCAUAAGAUGAAUUUGGAAGGUUUCCUUCCUUUUCUAUUUUUUGGAGUAAUUAGAGGAGAAUAGGUAUUAACUCUUCUUUAAAUGUUUGAUAGAAUUCACCUAUGAAGCCAUCUGGUCCUGGACUUUGUUAGGAGUUUUUUGAUUACUGAAUCAAUUUCAUUGCUAGUAAUUGAUCUGUUCAAAUUUUCUCUUUCUUACUGAUUCAGUUUGGGAGGUUAUGUGUGUUGGGAAAUCCAUUUCUUUUAGGUUGUUCAAUUUGUUGGCAUUUGAUUGUUCAUAAUACAGUACUCUCUUAUGUUUCUUUGUAUUUCUGUGAUGUUGUGAUUUUUCUUCUUUCAUUUCUGAUUUUGUUUAUGUAGGUCCUCUUUCUUUUUCUUUUUUUGAUGAGACUGACUGGAGGUUUAUCAAUUUUGUUGACCUUUUCAAAGAACCAUCUUAUGGCUUCAUUGAUUUAUUCUAUAUUUUUUUAGUUUAUAUUUUGUUUAUUUCUGCUCUAAUCUCAAUAUUUCCUUCUACUGGUUUGGGGCUUGUUUAUUCUUCUUUUUCUAACUCCUUUAGGUAUAAGUUUGGUUGUUUGAGGUUUGGUUUUGUUUUUUUGUUUUUGUUUUUUGUUUUUUUUGUUUUUUUUUUUGCUUCUUGAAGUAGGCCUGUAUUGCUAAAACUUCCCUCUUAGAAUAGCUUUUGCUGCAUACCAAAGAUUUGGGGCCAUUAUGUUUUCAUUUUCAUUUAUCUCCGUGUAUUAUUAUUGUUUUAAAUAUAAUUUGUUGUCCAGUUAGCUAACAUACAGUGUGUACAGUGUGCUCUUGGCUUCGGGAGUAGAUUCCCAUGAUUCAUCGCUUACAUACAGCACUCAGUGCUCAUCCCAACAAAUGCCCUCCUCAAUGCCCAUCACCCAUUUUCUCCUCUCCUCCUGCCCCCUCCAUCAACCCUCAGUUUGUUCUCUGUGUUUAAGAGUCUCUUGUGGUUUGCCUCCCUCUAUGUUUGAAACUAUUUUCCCCCUUCCCUUCCCCCAUGGUCUUCUGUUAAGUUUCUCAAAUUCCACUCAUGAGUGAAAACAUAUGACACCUUUCUUUCUCUGACUGACUUAUUUCACUUAGCAUAAUGCCCUCCAGUUGUUGGAAGUGACAAGAUUUCAUUCUUUCUCAUUGUCAAGUAGUAGUCCAUUAUAUGUAUAAACCACAUCUUCUUUAUUCAUUCAUCAGUUGAUGGACAUUUGGACUCUUUCCAUAAUUUGGCUAUUGUUGAAAGAGCUGCUAUAAACUUUGGGGUACAUGUGCCCCUAUGAAUCAGCACUCCUGUAUCCUUUGGAUAAAUUCGUAAUAGUGUUAUUGCUGGGUCAUAGGGUAAUUCUAUUUUUAAUUUUUUAAGGAGCCUCCACACUGUUUUCUAGAAUGGCUGCACCAGUUUGCAUUCCCUUCCAACAGUGCAAGAGGGUUCUGUUUUUCCACAUCCUCACCAAUGUCUGUUGUUUCCUUAGUUGUUAAUUUUAGCCACUCUGAUUGGUGUGAGGUGGUAUCUCAGUAUGGUUUUGAUGUGUGUUUCCCUGAUGAUGCAUGACAUUGAGUAUCUUUUCAGGUGUCUGUUGUCCAUCUGGAUGUCUUCUUUGGAGAAGUGUCUAUUCAUGUCUUCUGCCCAUUUCUUCACUGGAUUAUUUGUUUUUGGGGUAAGUUUGGUAAGUUCUUUAUAGAUUUUGGAUACUAACCCUUUACCUGGUAUGUCAUUUGCAAAUAUCUUCUCCCAUCCCAUUGGUUGCCUUUUAGUUUUGCUGAUUGUUUCCUUCGCUGUGCAGAAGCUUUUUAUCUUGUUGAGGUCUCAAUAGUUCAUUUUUGCUUUUGUUUCCUUGCCUUCGGAGACGUGUCAAGUAAGAAGUUGCUGUGGCCAAGGUCAGAGAGGUUUUUGCCUGCUUUCUCCUCUAGGAUUUUUGAUGGCUUCCUGUCUUAUGUUUGGGUCUUUCAUCCAUUUUGAGUUUAUUUUUUGUGUAUGGUGUAAGAAAGUGGUCCAGGUUCAUUCUUCUGCAUGUUGCUGUCCAGUUUUCCCAGCACCGUUUGCUGAAGAGACUGUUUUUAUUCCAUUGGAUAUUCUUUCCUGCUUUGUCAAAGAUUAGUUGGCCAUAUGUUUGUUGGUUCAUUUCUGGGUUCUCUAUUCUGUUCCAUUGAUCUGAGUGUCUGUUUUUGUGCCAAUACCAUACGGUCCUGAUGGUUACAGCUUUGUCAUACAUCUUGAAGUCUGGGAUUGUGAUGCCUCCUGCUUUGAUUUUCUUUUUCAGGAUUGCUUUGGCUAUUUGGGGUCUUUUCUGGUUCCAUGCAAAUUUUAGGAAUGUUUGUUCUAGUUCUGUGAAGAAUGCUGGUGUUAUUUGACAUGGAUUGCGUUGAAUAUGUAGAUUGCUUUGGGUAGUAUUGACAUUUUAACAAUAUUUGUUCUUCCAAUCCAUGAGCAUGGAAUAUUUUUCUAUUUUUUUGUGUGUCUUCUUCAAUUUCUUUCAUAAACUCUCUAUAGUUUUCAUUGUAUACAUUUUUCAUCUCUCUCGUGAGGUUUAUUCCUAGGUAUUUUAUGGAUUUUGGUGCAAUUGUAAAUGGAAUUGAUUCCUUGAUUUCUCUUUCUGUUGCUUUAUUAUUGGUGUAUUCUCUUUUCUUCACAUUCUUGCUGACACUUGUUAUUUCUUGUCUUUUUUAUACUAGCCAUCCUACCAGGUGUGAAGUGGUAUCUCAAUGUGGUUUUGAUUUCUGUUCCCCUGAUGAUAAGUGAUGUUGAGCAUCUUUUGAUGUGUCUUUUGGCCAUCUGGAUGUCUUCUUAGGGAAAGUGUCUAUUCACGUUUUCUGCCCAUUUCUUCACUGGAUUAUUUGUUUUUGGGGUGUUGAGUUUGGUAAGUUCUUUAUAGAUUUUGGAUACUAACUCUUUAUCUAGUAUAUCAUUUGCAAAUAUCUUCUCCCAUCUCGUCGGUUGUCUUUUAGUUUUGUUGAUGUUAUCCUUUACAGUGCAGAAGCUUUUUAUCUUGUUGAGGUCUCAAUAGUUCAUUUUUGCUUUUGUUUCCCUUGCGUUCAGAGAUGUGUCAAGUAAGAAGUUGCUGUGGCCCAAGUCAAAGAGGUUGUUGCUUGUUUUCUCCUCUAGAGUUUUGAUGGUUUCCUGUCUCACAUUUGGGUCUUUCAUCCAUUUUGAGUUUAUUUUUGUAUUCGAUGUAAGAAAGUGGUCCGGUUUCAUUCUUCUGCAUUUUGCUGUCCAGUUUUCCCAGCCCCAUUUGCUAAAGAGACUGUCUUUUUUCCAUUGGAUACUCUUUCCUGAUUUGUCAAAGAUUAGUUGGCCGUACAUUUGUGGGUCCAAUUCUGGGUUCUCUAUUCCUUUGAUCUGAGUGUCUGUUUUUGUGCCAAUACCACACUGUCUUGAUGGUUACACCUUUGUAGUGGAGACUAAAGUCUGGGAUUGUGGUGCCUCCCGCUUUGGUUCUCUUUUUCAACAUUACAUUGGCUAUUCGGAGUUUUUUGUGGUUCCAUACAAAUUUUAGGAUUGUUUGUUCUAGCUCUGAGAAGAAUGCCAGUGCAAUUUUGAUUGAGAUUGCAUUGAAUGUGUAGAUUGCUUUGGGUAGUAUUAACAUUUUAACAAUAUUUAUUCUUCCAGUCCAUGAGCAUGGAAUGUUUUAACAUUUCUUUGUGUCUUCUUCAAUUUCUUUCAUAAGUUUUCUAUAGAUUUCAGCAUACAGAUAUUUUACAUCUUUGGUUAGGUUUAUUCCUAUGUAUUUUAUGGUUCUUGGUGCGAUUGUAAAUGGGAUCGAUUUCUUGAUUUCUCUUUCUGUUGUUUCAUUAUUGGUGUAUAGAAAUGCAACCAAUUUCUGUGCAUUGAUUUUGUAUCCUGCAACUUUGCUGAAUUCAUGUAUCAGUUCUCGUAGCUUUUUGGUGGAGUCUUUAUGGUUUUCCAUAUAGAGUACCAUGUCAUCUGUGAGAAGUGAAGGUUUGACUUCUUUGCCAAUUUUGAUGCCUUUGAUUUCCUUUUGUUGUCUGAUUGCUGAGACUAGGACUUCCAAUAUUAUGUUAAACAACAGUGGUGAGAGUGGACAUCCCUGUUGUGUUCCUGAUCUCAGGGGGAAAGCUCUCAGUUUUUCCCCAUUGAGGAUGAUAUUAGCUGUGGGCUUUUCAUAUGUGGUUUUUAUGAUGGUAAGGUGUGUUCCUUCCAUCCCAACUUUCUUGAGGGUUUUUAUUAAGAAUGGGUGCUGUAGUUUGUCAAAUGCUUUUUCUGCAUCUAUGUCCCAGACUAGGAGUCUCUUGUCCAGCAAGAGAGCAGACCCAGAAUUGAAUGCAAGAGAGGUUAAUGUCUGGAAGGAGACAAGAGCCCCGAGCAGGGGUUUUGUCUCCAUAUUUAUUGAGCACUCAAGAUCUUAUACAUGUGUGAACACGAAGAAAACAAGAUCUUAUACACAGGUUGAACAUGAAGAAAGCAAUUAGAUAGUAAUCAUUAACUUAUGUGUGUAUGAAGCAAAGGGUCUGGGGGGCAAGUGGAGUUUGUGAUCAAAGUACAAUAGUAUAUUGGUGUUAGAUGGAAAGUAAUUUCCUGCAGGUGAUAUAACAAGUUACUAAUGAUCCCCUUACAAUAUCUCACUAGCUAAUAUUGGAUGCUUUCUCUCCAUGGUGGUGGCUUUCCGCCCUAAGCUUUUUUCUAACCCAUUUAUGUAAGCAGUACCUAUUUCCCCACACAUCUAUUGACAGGAUUAUAUUGUUCUUACCCUUUCUUCUAUUAAUGUGGUGUAUCACAUUGACUGAUUUGCAAAUGUUGAACCAGCCCUGCAGUCCAGGAAUGAAUCUCACUUGAUCAUGAUGAAUAAUUCUUUUAAUACACUGUUGAAUUCUAUUUGCAAGUAUCUUUUGAGAAUUUUUGUAUCCAUGUUCAUCAGGGAUAUUGGCCUGUAACUCUUUUUUAGUGAGGUCUCUGUAUGGUUUGGGAAUCAAGGUAAUGCUAGCUUCAUAGAAUGAGUCUGGAAGCUUUCCUUCUGUUUCUAUUUUUUGGAACAUCUUGAGAAGCAUAGGUAUUGACUGUGCUUAAAAUGUUUGGUAGAAUUCCCCUGGGAAGCCAUGUGGCCCAGGACUCUUGCUUGUUGGGAGAUUUUUGAUAACUGAUUCAGUUUCUUUGCUGGUUAUGGGUCUGUUCAAAUUUUCUAUUUCUUCUCAUUUGAGUUUUGGUAGUGUGUGGAUGUGUAGAAAUUUGUCCAUUUCUUCCAGAUUGUCCAGUUUGUUGACAUAUAAUUUUUCAUAGUAUUCUCUAAUAAUUGUAUUUCUGUGGUGUUGGUUGUGAUCUCUCCUCUUUCGUUUGUGAUUUUAUCGUUGGGUCCUCUCUCGUUUCUUUUUGAGAAGUCUGGCUAGGGGUUUAUCAAUUUUGUUUAUUUUUUCAAAAUACCUGCUGUUAGAUUCAUUGAUCUUUUCUACUUUUUUAAAAAUUCUGUAUUGUUUAUUUCUGAUCUAAUCUUUAUUAUUUUUCUUCUGCUGGACUUGAGGUUUCUUUGCUGUUCUGCGUCCAGUUCUUCCUUUAGGUGUGUGGCUAGGUUUUGUAUCUGGGAUUUUUCUUGUUUCUUGAUCUAGGCCUGGAUUGCAAUGGAUUUUCCUCUUAUGACUGCUUUGUUGCAUCCCAAAGGGUUUGGACUGGCAUGUUUUCAUUUGUUUCCAUAUAUUUUUAAUUUCUUUUUUCAUUGUCUGGUUAACUUAUUCUUUAGUAGGAUGUUCUUUAACCUCCAUGCAUUUGGAGGCUUUCCAAAUUUUUCCUUAUGGUUGAUUUCAAGUUUCAUAGCAUUGUGAUCUGAAAGUAUGCAUGUUAUGAUUUCAAUUCUUUUAUAUUUAUUGGGGGCUGUUUUGUGACUCAGUAUGUUAUCUAUCUCGGAGAAUGUUCCAUGUACACUCGAGAAGAAUGUGUGUUCUGCUUUUGGAUGAAAAGUUCUGAAUAUAUCUGUCAAGUCCAUCUGGUCCAGUGUAUAUCAUUCAAGGCCAUUGUUUCUUUAUUGAUUUUCUGUCUAGAUGAUCUGUCCAUUGUUGUUAGUGGAGUAUUAAAGUCCCCUGCAAGAUUGCUUAUGUUUGUGAUUUAUUGAUUUAUUUAUUUGGGUGCUUCAAGUUGGGGGCAUAUACAUUUACAAUUGUUAGCUCUUCUUGAUGGAUAGACCCCAUAAUUAUGAUAUAAUGCCCUUCUUCAUCUUGUUACAGCCUUUAGUUUAACAUCUUUUUUAAUGUUUAUUUUUGAGAGAGACAGAGCGUGAGUGGGGGAGGGACAGAGAGAGAGAGUCAGACAGACAGACAGAAUCUGAAGCAGGCCUCAGGCUCUGAGCUGUCAGCACAGAGCCUGAUGCGGGGCUUGAACCCAUGAGCUGUGAGAUCAUGACCUGAGCUGAAGUUGGAAGCUUAACCAACUGAGCCACUGAGGCGCCCCUACAGCCUUUAGUUUAAAAUCUAGCUUGUCUGAUAUAAGCAUGGCUACCCCAGCUUUCUUUUGACUUCCAGUAGCAUGAUAGAUGGUUCUCCAUGUUUUUUGAUUGGGGCACUUAGUCCAUUUACAUUCAGAGUUAUUAUUGAAAGAUAAGGAUUUAGUGUCAUUGUGUUAUCUGUAAGUUUCAUGCUUGUGGUGAUGUUGCUGGUCCUUUGUAGUCUUUGCAGCAUUCCACUCACAGAGUCCCCCUUAGGAUCUCUUGCAGGCCUGGUUUGGUGGUCAUGAACUCCUUCAGUUUUUGUUCGUCUGAGAAAGCCUUAAUGUCUCCUUCUAUUCUGAAUGACAGCCUUGCUGGAUUCUUGGCUGCAUAUUUUUCCUAUUUAGCACAUUGAAUACUUAUAUCAGACAAACGAGGUUUUAAACUAAAGGCCCUUCUGGCCUGCCAAGUUUCAGUGGACAGGUCUGCUACUGCCCUUAUGUGUCUCCCCUUGUAGGCUUAGGACCAUUUGUCCCUAGCUGCUUUCAGAAUUCUCUCUUUAUCUUUGUAUUUUGCCAGUUUCACUAUGAUAUGCUGUGUAGAAGGCCUAUUCUUGUUGAAUCUGAAGGGAUUUCUGUGUGCCUCUUGGAUUUGGAUGUCGGCUUCCUUCCCCAGAUUAGGGAAGUCCUCAGCUAUAAAUUGUUCAAGUAAACCUUCUGCCCCCUUCUGUCUCUCUUCUUCUGGAACGCCCAUGAUAUGGAUAUUAUUAUGUUUCAUUGAAUCACCUAGUUCUCUAAUUCUUCCCUCAUGUCUAGUAUUUUCUUUUUUCUCUUUUUCUCAGCUUCAUCAUUUUCCAUAAUUUUAUCUUCUAUUUCACUUAAUCUCCUGACUGCUCCUUGCUGUCACUAUAUCUGCUUUAUUUUGCACCCCAUUUACAGCAUUUCUUAAUUCGUCAUGGCUAUUAGUUCCUUGAUCUCUGCAGCAAUAGAUUCUCUGGUGUCUUCUAUGCUUUUUUCAAUCCCAGCCAUUAAUCUUAUGAUUAUUAUUCUAAAUUCUUGAUCAGAUACAUUGUUUAUAUCUGUUUUGAGCAGUUCUCUAGCUCUCAUUUCUUCCUGUAAUUUCUUUUGAGGAAAAUUCUUCCGUUUUGUCAUUUUGUCUACUUUUCUGUCCUUUAUGUGUUUUAAUAGCUUGUUAUGUGUCCUGCACCUGUGAGCACUACUAUAUUAAAAAGGGGUCAUACACUGUCCAGGGCCUCGCCCUUCAGGAGGUGUUUUUGGAGUGUGUUGCAUGCUGUCUGUUGUUGUGGCUCUGGUUGCUUUUAUCUCCCUGCUCGUAGUGGUAGUUUGGACCUUCUACCAGACGUGCUUUGAUUUGUUCAUUGAAGUAACCCUGAAAAAAAUUUAAAAAGGGGUGGUGGUGGAAGAAGCCUUAUCUCUCAUACAAAGAGAGAAAUGACAGGGGUGGAGAAAAAAGAAAAGAAAAAAAAAUUGAUCAGGCAGAGAAUCAGAGAAACUAUAUGGCUUAAUCCAGAGAGAGAGAGAGAGAGAGAGAGAGAGAGGAAAAUAAAGGAGAUAUAGAAGAGGUGUGAAAAGAAUAGAUUAAAAAUGUCUGCCUAAACAAAUCAACAACCAGAAUAGAGAAGGGAAGAAAUAAGAGGAGGAAAAGAAAGAAAUAUAUAUAUAUACACACACACAUAUAUAUAUAUAUAUAUAAGAAUUGACCAAGAAUAAAUAUAUAUAUAUAUGUAUAUAUAUAAUUGACCAAGAUACAAUUGACCAAUAUAUAAUUGAUCAAGAAUAUAUAUAUAUAUAUAAUAAGAAUUGACCAAGAAUCAGAUCCAAAAAUGCAAAGCCACUGGACCGAUAUCUGACAGUGCCUUGGGACUGGUGGCUGUGCAGGUCUGGAAGAGGGACUGUCUGGUUUGAUCAGUGUCAGUCUUGCUCCAGUAGAUCCGCAGUUACCAAGCACAGAGGGGUGGGGUUUGGGGUGAGCAGGUCCCCCCUCCGCUGUGGGCCUGAUGUCUUGUUCCCUGAAGCCCCACCUCGGUGAUGGGGAGACCAGUGGUGACACCCCAGUCUUUCCUCCCCGGACCGGGUGUCCCAGACCACUCUGUUCAGGCUGUCCUCACAGAGCUGCUCGGGCAUGCGUGAGCUGGUUUCUCCUGCUGCACAGUUUCCAGCGCCUCCCACGUGUUCGCCUGGGAUUCAAACCCCAGCGUCUUAAAGGAUCCCACUCCACACGCCCUGAUUCCGGAGUAGUGCCGCUCCACCCAGCUGACAAAGAGCCUCUGGCUGGCGGGUGCCUGCAAGGUCUUUUGUCCUUGGAACAGGUAUAUAUACCUUCUUCCCAAGCACUCAAGGGAGGGGACUGCUCUCUCCAACUGCGCCUCUGAGCUCACUUCCGAACCCUGGGAUGGCUCCUUUCCCCUCUAGGUUUGUGCGCAGGGCAGCUGGCCCCAGUCCGGAGGAAGACCCACAAUCCCGGAUCCUCACUCUUAAGGGUAUUUGCAAGUUAGAAAUUGGUUCUUUAUCCAUUUUUUUCCAUUCCCUGGUCCAGUCCGUGGUCUGGGGAGGUUUUCCUCUUGUCCAGAUACAACCCUACACUUCGACAGCCUCUCUUUCUCUUCCUUUCAUCUCUCCACAGAAGGGGAUCCUUCCCCUCCGUGCCUACACCACCUGUUUUAUCUCUCCAAGUUUGCAAGCACGCACCUGUGGCCCUCCAGGUUGUCCCCUUGGGCCCCUGGAGAUGUUUCUGUCACUCUGUAGCCUUGAUUCCUGGAAUUCCAAAACUUCUGGCCUUAAUACUGCUAUGUUUGAGGGACGAAGGAACUUUGGAGCCCCCUAUUUUUCUACCUUGUUGACUCCCCUCCAUGUAUUUUUUAAAGUUCCUCUUUGAUUUCUUGGUUGAACCAUUUGUUAUUUAGUAACAUGUUAUUUAACCUCCAUGAAUUUGUGUUUUCCAGAUUUUUUCUUAUGGUUGAUUUCUAGUUUCAUAGCCUUGUGGUCAGAGAAGAUGCAUAGUAUGAGUUCAGUUUUUUUGAAUUUGUUGAGAUUUGUUUUGUGAUCUGUUCUGGAGAAUAUUCCAUGGAUGCCUGGAAAACAAUGUGAAUUUUACUCUUUUAGGUUGGAAUAUUCUGAAUACUCAUUCAGAAUACAUUCAAAGUAAUUAUCGAUAGGUAUGUAUUUAUUGCCAUGUUGCUACUCAUUUUAUGGUUGUUUUUGUAGUUCUCUUUUCCUUUCUUGCUCUUUUGUCUCACAGUUAGUUGGCUUUCUUGAAAUACUUGGAUUCCUUUCUCUUUAUUUUUUUGCGUAUCUGUUAGCAGUUUUUGAUAAGUGCUUACCGUUAGGUUUAUAUUUAACACCUCUGCAUAUAGCGGUCUAUAUUAAGUUGAUGGUCACUUAAGUUUGAACCUAUUCUAAAAGCACUACAUUUUUACUCCUCCUCCCCCCUGCUGCCCACAUUUUAGGUAUGUGGUGUCAUACUUUACAUCCUUUUAUUUUGUUAAUCCCUUGACUGAUUUUUUAUAGAUAUACUUAAUUUUACUGCUUUUGUGUUUUCCUUACUUACCCUUACUUACAGUCUUUCCUUUCAGCUCCAAGAGUUCCCUUUAACAUAUCCUGAAGUCUGGUUUAGUGGUGAUGAAGUCCUUCAACCUUUUUGUCUGGGAAACUUUCUCUCUCCUUCCAUUCUGAAUGGUAGCCUUGCCAGAUAGAGUACUCUUGGUUGGAGUUUUUUUUUUUUUCUUUUCAUUCAUCACUUUGAAUGUAUCUUGCAACUCCCUUCCGGCUUGCAUAGUUUCUGAUGAAAAAUCAGCUGAUAGCCCUAAGGGGUUUCUCUUGUAUGUAACUGUUUUCUCUUUGCUGCUUAAAAAUUCUCUUUUUACUACUACUUUUUGCUGUGUAUAUUGGUGUAUAUCUCCUUGGUUUGAUUUUGUUGGGAGUUCUUUGUGCCUCUUGGGUCUUGAUUUCUGUUUCCUUUCCCAGGUUUGGGUAGUUUUCAGCUAUUUUUUGUUCAAAUAAAUUUUCUACCCCCCAUUUUCUCUCUCUCUCUCUCUCCCCUCUUUCUAGGAUUUGCAAUAUAUUGCAAAUGUUACUAUGCUUGAUUGUGUCACUGAGUUCCCUAAGUCUAUUUGUUGUUGUUGUUCUUGUUUCUCUCUCGCAUUCAACUUGAUUGCUUUCCAUUGCUGUGUCCUUGAGGUUGCUGACCCAUUUUCCUGCUUCUUCUAGUCUAUUAUUUAUUGCAUCUAGUAUAUAUUUUUUAAUGUUUAUCUAUUUUUGAGAGAGGGAGACAGAGACAGAAUGUGAGUGGGAAAGGGGCAGAGAGAGAGAGAGCAACACAGAAUCUGAAGCAGGCUCCAGGCUCUGAACUGUCAGCACAGAGCCUGACACGGGGCUCAAACUCACGGACUGCAAGAUCAUGACCUGAGCUGAAGUCAGACGCUUAACAGAUUCAGCCACCCAGGCACCUGUCCAUCUAGUGUAUUUUUAAUUUCAGUUAUUGAGUUCUUCAUCUGUGAUUGUUUUUUUUUUUUCUUUACUUUCUGUAUCUUUGUUGAGGGUCUCACUGAGGUCCUCCAUUCUUUUGUCAAGCACAAUGAGUAUCUUUAUGACCAUUACUUAAUUUUUUUUAAUGUUUAUUUAGAGAGAGAGAGGGAGAGUGUGAGCAGGGGGAGGGGCAGAGAGAGAGAAGAGAAUCCCAAGUAGGCUCUGUGCUAAUAGCAUGGGGCUUGAUUCCCAUGUGAGAUCAUGGGAAUUCCCACUGUGAGAUCAUGACCUGGGCUGAAAUCAAGAGUUGGACCUUAUCCGACUGAGCCACUCAGGCUCCCUUGACCAUUACUUUAAAUUCUCUAUUAGGCAUAUUGCUUAUCUCCAUUUGUUUAUCUCUUGCUGUGAUUUUGACCUGUUCUUUCAUUUGAGAUAUAUUCUUUUGUCUCCUCAUUUUGUCUAACUCUCUGUGUCUGUUUCUAUGGGUUAUGAAACUCACGAACGUCUUCUGCUCUUGAAAGUGGUGGUCUUAUGGGCGCCUGGGUGGCUCAGUUGGUUGAGCGUCCGACUUCGGCUCAGGUCAUGAUCUCACGGUCCGUGAGUUCGAGCCCCGCAUCGGGCUCUGUGCUGAAUCUCAGAGCCCGGAGCCUGCUUCGGAUUCUGUGUCUCCGUCUCUCUCUGCCCCUCCCCUGCUCAUGCUGUGUCUCUCUCUGUCUCAAAAAUAAAUAAAACAUUGAAAGUGGUGGUCUACGAAGAAGAGGUCCUUUAGUGCCCUGUAGUGCAGUACCCCCUUCCCCCAAAUCUGCCACUUCAGGGGCAUUUCCUAUGUGUGUUGCAUGGGCACUACUCUUGUGGCUGAGCUGCUUUUACCUAUAGUCUAGUCAGCUGCAGUGGCUCUCUUUGUUGUGGGGAGGGUCUGGUCCCUGUGUUGUUAGUGGGCCAGCGUGGGACCACCCUGGGCUUGAGUUGAGUCAGACCAGGCAUUUGCCAGAGCUAUGGUAGCACUGAACCACAGGACGCUUUCCCUAUGUUGUCUCCUGAGAAGCUUUUGUUGGCGGGAGGCGGGGAGGGCUGCAGUCGGACCAGAUAUUUGCCCCUAGCCCAUUGCUAGCACCACAGUCAGACUGACGUGUGUGGUUAUCUUGCCCUCUCUGGAGCAGGAGUCACUUUGGGAUGGUGCUGUUCGCUGGUGGGGCUGUUGGCAAAGCUGGCAGACUUGUUGCAGCACUUUGGGUGGACUCCUGCCAAGGAUGUGUUAGAGCUGGUGUGUCUGUAAAAGAAUGCUGGGGUGUGGUGUGCCAGUCUACUGUGGGAGGGAAACUGCAGCCACCUUGGGAAAUUCCUGCCCAGGCCAGGAUGGAGAGGUGUGGGUCUGCAGGAAAGCAUGGGCGCAGGUGCACUGUUAGCAAGUUGGGUGGAUAAUGUUCACUCUGAGCUGGUUCCCACAGGUAUCCAUGUAUCUAGGCUGGAGGGCACAGGAGGGAAAUGGUGCCCACCAGCUCUUUUGUUCUUGGAGAAGUCUCCCAAAGAUCCUGCCUCUCUUGCAUAUGCUCUGAGAUUAGCAAAUAAAUUUCCCUCCUAUGAACCCUAGGCAUUUUUCAAAUUACUCUUUCUAUGCUGUAUCUCAGUGGGGCUGUUUGUUGUGCUGUCUCUUUAGGGUCAGGGACUCCAUUUCCUGUCACCCUCUCAGCUCUCCCAGACCCAAGCUUGGUGAUUUUUAAUGUUCUAGGUGUUAAGCCCCACUAGUUGUAAGAAGUCACGAGGUAGGGCCCUCUGGUUUGGAAAGCCAAAUGCUACGGGGAUUUGUCUUUCCAGUGUAAGUCCCCCGUGCCUGGGGUACCUGGUGGGGGCCUGUUCCUCUCCCCUUUCCAUACUCUUGGCUUCCCUCCCUCCUGCAGACAGUUCGAUGGGUUAGUUUGGCUCUGGAGCAAGUGUCCGCCCUUCCUACCUUCUUUGAUGUGGUCUCUUCUCUACAUUUGGCUGCACAGAGUCUGUUCUGCCUGUCUUUGGGUUGUUUUCUGGGUCAUUUACACUGGUGUGGAUGUUAUCUGGGUGUACUCAUGGGACAAGGUGAGCCUUGGGUCUUCCUACUGUGCCAUCUUCCUUGAAAGUCCAGCAUAUUUAUCAUUGUUUUAAGUAAACUGUUAUUAACAUAUAGCAUAUGUACAGGUAAAAACCUACAAAUAAGUAGAAGUUCUCUCUUCCCAGGUCCGUCCUUGUACAUAUCCCUGUAGGACGGGGAAUUAGUAAAUUCUGCUUUGUGAAUUACUUGUUUCUGUAAAUAAAGUUUUAUCAGAGUACAACCAUGCCCAUUUUUUUUUAACAUAUUGUUUAUAUCUGCUUUUGCCCUACAACAGCAAUGUUGAAUAGUGGUGACACAGACUAUGUGGCCUGCAAGCCUAAAAUAUUUACAAUGUGACUUUUUAAGGGGUGCCUGGGUGGCUCAGUUGUUUGAGCAUCAGAUUUCAGCUCAGGUCAUGAUCUCACUGCUUGUGGGUUUGAGCCCCACGACAGGCUCUGUGCUGAUAGCUCGGAACCUGGAGCCUGCCUCAGAUUCUGUGUCUCCCUCUUUCUCUCCCCCUCCCCCCCUCAUGCUCUGUCUCUCUCAAAAAUAAAUAAACCUUAAAAAAAUUAAAAAAAUACAAUGUGGCUUUUUAAGAAAAAAAAAAAAAAAAGCCAACCCCUGUCCUAGAUUGUGAUGGGCUAUGACUCUAAUUAUAUGUCUAAAUGCAAUGAGGGAUGGUGGGGGUGCAUUUGAGGAGAGCCCGAAUCUGCUUUAAGUGAGACAAUUAUGGGAUCUUCAAGCCUGAGAGGCUAACCUUUGAUGGGAAAACGGGCUAAUUCUACUGGAAGGGAAGUAUACAGAUAUUCAAGUAUCUCAGUCAUUGAAGUGCAUACAGAUGUCAUCAUUUCAUUCAAGAUCCCAUUUUUUUUCAAUUAACACCCAAAAUUUGAUGUAAGAGACUUGACAAGGCUGUGACCACAGUAUGUAUUGUAAUAUUGCAAUAAGUAUUAAUUUAAAUCUGGUUAUGUUUUGUUUGGGUUUUGUUUUGUUUUGUUUUUUUUGGAAAUAUCAACCCCCAAGACUACAAGUGAUAGGAGACUUUUCCAAGGGGCUCUUGGAUGUUCUUUGGUGCUCUAAGAGUGCUUUGACCCAAGAUUUUAAAGAAGUGAGCUUGUCCUUUUGCUUCUGUGGGAUGUUUAGUCCGAAGCAUCUAGCCCACCCUUGUAGUUAUUACUGUCCUCAUUUCCACCUGAAGGUCCUGUUGUUUCAGCUAUAAGUGAUGAUUUGUUUAAUGUUUAUUUACUUUUGAGAGAGAGAAGGAGAGAGGGAGAGGGAGAGGGAGGGAGGGAGGGAGGGAGAGAGAGAGAGAGAGAGAAAGAAAACACGAGUAGUGGAGGGGCAGAGAGAGAGGGAGAAUCUGAAGCAGGCUCCAGGCUCUGAGCUGUUAGUACAGAGCCCAAUGCAGGACCCAAACCCAUAAACCAUGAGAUCAUGACCUGAGCUGAAGUUGGAUACUUAACCGACUGAGCCAUCCAGGUGCCCCAGUAAUGAUUUUUAAUAGUUACUUCUCACUGAAUUCCAUGGAUUACUAGUGUCAUUUCUACUAGGAAGGUCAUCCCUGAUUACAUGUAUAAUCAGGAAAGAAAACUAAUUCUAUAUGGUCAAUUCUUAAGGAUCUGUUUCUUGGAACCAAUACCGACAUCAAACUAGUUAUUAGUUAGGAUUCAGACAGGAAAUCAGAAAACAGAUAUUUGACAAGAAGGGAUUUAAUACAUGUAUUUAGAUACCUGAAAAAUUACAGGAAGAUCUGGAUGGAGUAAAGGUCAGGGUUCCAGAAAGGUAGAGACCAUAGAAUCACGGGAAGCUGCCAUAGAUAAUGUUAGCUACCUAUAGUACUGACACAGGAAAUUCACAAAAGGGCUCCUGGAAGCUACUGCAAACCUUCUAUCUGCCCUCUGCCCACAAGUCCACGUGCCAGUUCUGGUGUAAAUAAUGGCUUCCUCCCCUGUUCUUCAGGUGUCCUACGAGUGCCUUGUAUGGACCAAAUCUACCCCCGCCCCGCCCCCAGAAAGAGAUCCUCAGGAAUGUAACGAAUAUGCUUCCAAAUUUGUCAGGAAGAGUGAUGAUUCCUCCAUCAAUAAAGCACAUCCAACUGCUAGGGGAUAUUAGAAUUAACAAUAAGAAGGAAGCUUCUAAAACAUGCUGAAAGAGACCUUUCGGCUGACAACAUAAAAAGUUGAGGGAAAAGGUCCUCAGUUGACAGCAGACAAUCCACCGCAUUGCAUAAAUAUUUCCCCAAAUGUUCUGUGGGAUGUUGGCGCUAUGAUGCAGUUGGUCAGUAAAGGAUUUUACGGCCAGAUACAUUUGAGAAAAUCUUAAAACUCUAACUUGUUCUUUUUAAAAAAAAUAUUUAUUUUUGAGAGAGAACACAAGCAGAGGAGGGGCAGAGAGAGCGGGGCAGCGGGGGGGGGGGGCGGGGGUGCGUGGACAGAGGAUCCAAAAGUAGGUUCUGUGCUGACAGCAGAGCCUGAUGCAGGCAGGGCUCAAACUCAUGAACCCUGAGAUCAUGACUUGAUCAUGAUCAGGUCAUGUCGGACGCUCAACUGACUGAGCCACCAAGUCUCCCCAAAACUCUGACUCAUUCUUAGAGAAUUACAGUACGUAUACUUAUAUUAAGGAGUCUGAGAAAACCUGCAAUAAAGACACCAUCCUUUAACUUAGGCCAGCAUUAUCAACAGUGUUAACUACUCUGGUUUUCCCCUUAGUGUCUGAAGAACAUUCUGGAAAACACACUUAGGGAAAGGCUAACAAUGAACCAUUUCUUGGGUUAGUUUUGUGGGCUUGUGUUAGGUCGCCAUUGACAAGGAAUGUUAGAAAGGGUGAAAUAGGAAAUUGCAAAUCUAGAAAUCCCAAGCCACCACAUUUGAAAUAGACCGAAGCAAUAUUGAGAACAUCUUGUGGAAAGACAUCAUUCACCUUGCAACAGUUUGUAUACACCAAGUAAUAUAGGCUGUGUGCCUGUCUGCAAGCAAAAGUUGAAGGAGCUCUUCACGUUCUCUGAGGCGUAAGAAACACUGUAGCACGUUGCAUCAGCAUUUUGUAGACAAAGCGUGUUGUACAAAAUAAUGGGAAUAUCUGAAAAGUGUUCCUCCUGGAACUCUGAGUCCACCAUAAUGAGACUUUGUUCUGCUGAUCUAGGGAUGGGUUCAAAUGUGUUUCAUUACUUACUUCCAAAAAGUAAUAGCUAAUGCAAAAUCAAUACUUGAGAUGGUCUGUUGAAAAUGACCAUAAAAUAUGGAACUGAAUCUAAGUGAGAGAAGCCAGACACAAGAGAUCACACAGAUUUAAUUUAUAUACAAUAUAUAAGUAAAGUUUAUAUAAAAUAAAAGGGUAGGUAAGUCCACAGAGAGAAAGCAGAUGAGCAGUUGCAAGGGGCUGGAAGAAGGAGAAAACGAAGAGUGGCUGCUUAAUGGAUAUGAGGUUCCUUUUGGGGUGAUGGAAAUGUUUUUGAACUAGAUAAAAGUGAUGGUUGCACAACACUGUGAAUGUACUAAAUGUCACCAAAUUGUACGCUUUAAAAUGAUUAAACUUACAUGAAUUUUAUGCUGAUUUUUUAAAAAGAAAAUAUAGGGGUAUCUGGAUGGCUCAGUCAGUCAUCCAGCUUCAGCUCAGGUCAUGAUCUCUCAUGGUUCGUGAGUUCAAGGCCCGCAUCGGGCUCUGUGCUGACAGCUCAGAGCCUGGUGCCUGCCUGGGAUUCUGUGUCUCCCUGUCUCUCUGCCCCUCCCCUUCUCUCGCUCUGUUUCUCACUCACUGACUCACAAAAAUAAAUACAUUAAGAAAUAUAUAUAAAACUGAUUAAGUCAAGGUGGAUGAGAGGACUUCAAGGAAGAACCCUCCAUCCAAGGUGGGAAAGCUAGCAGAGCUUGUUCUGUGCCCAGAAAAGAAGUUGGUUAAGACAUUGUCAUCUUUUCUUGGUUGUUCUAGAAAGUAUCCACCAAGCUAGAGCAAUUGGUGAUGUGACAGUAAAAUAACAUGGUGCCGGAAUGCUAGCUCUUUCUUUCAGACUAUAGGAAAAUCCAAGAGCGAGCCAGAGAGAGAGGAGUAAUUGAUAAUGUUGAGAAAGUUGCAGACUAAGCAUACAGGCAACAGCAACACAAGUGUGUAACUUCGAUGAGGAAAGGCAUUUCUGUUCACAGUGAUUGAUCUGAGGCUGCUAGCUGCGAGUCAGGAAAACGAAUAUCUUGUUGAAUUUCAGCAGCCAAAUUGUAACACCCUAAAAUUAGCAUGGUGAUUAUUAGUGAACUCUGGGAUAUUAGUAAACUGGAAAGGGGAUCUCCAUGUGUAUUAGUGAUCUGUUGCUGCUGUGUACCCACAGCCCCUGAACCCCCCUGCCCACUGCACCCAGCCCCCACCCAUCAUUCCCUGAUGCAUUCAUUGCUAUGCAGCUGGUAGCAGACUUGAACUGAGUAUUUUUUAUAUCUGUUUGGGGACAUUUUUAAUGGUGUUUUAAAUAUUAAAAUAUACAUCUUUAACUUACUAUAGUUUAUUUUCAAGUAGUCUUGUACUAUUUUUAAGUAAUAAAAGAACCUUACAAUAUUAUUUAUCGCUUCUUAGACAACAUUGCACUUUUUGUGUGUUUUACUUCUACGUGUGCUGUAAACGGUACAAAAUGCUAUGUUUUGCUUUAAGUAUUCCAGGGUCUUUUAGUUUUUAAUUUUAAAAAUUUUAUUUCUAGUGUAGUUGACAUACAAUGUUGUAUUAGUUUCGGGUGUACAAUGUAGUGAUUCAACAAUUCCAUACAUUACUCAGUGCUCAUCAAGAUAAGUGUAGGGGCGCCUGGGUGGCUCAGACAGUUAAGUGUCUGACUCUUGGUUUCGGCUCAGGUCAUGAUUUCACUGUUAGUGAGAUGGAGCCCUGCUUUGGGCUCUCUGCUGUCGAUGUGGACUCUCCUUCGGAUUCUGUCUCCCUCUCUCUCUGCCCCUCCCCUGCUCAUGUGGGUGUGUGUGUACUCGUUCACGCUCGUUCUCUCAAACAAGAAAACAUUUCAUUAAAAAAAAUAUAAAGUGUAUUCUUAAUCUCUCUCUCCUACUUCACCCAUCCCCCUCACUCACCUUCCCUCCAGUAAUCAUCUGUUUGUUCUCUGUAGUUAAGAGUCAGCAUUUUGAUCUGUCUCCUUUUUUUCCCCUUUGCUCAUUUGUUUCUUAAAUUCCACAUAUGAGUGAAAUUAUAAUGGCAUCUGUCUUUCUUUGAAUUAUCUUGCUUAGCAUUAUAUUCUCUAACUCCAUGUUGUUUAAAUGGCUAGAUUUCAUUAUUUUUAUGGCUGAAUAAUAUUCCAUUUAUGUAUAUAGAUACCUCACAUCUUCUUUAUCUUGGUCUACUUCCCUAGUUUGGCUAUUGUAAGCAAUACUGCAAUAAACAUAGGGGUGUUUAUAUCCUUUUGAAUUAGUGUUUUAGUAUUCUUUGGGCAGAUUCCCAGUAGUGUAAUUUUUGUAUCUUAUGGUAAUUUUAUCUUUAAUUUUUUGAGGAGCCUCCAUACUAUUUUCUACAAUGGCUGCACCAGUUUACAUUCCCACCAACAGUUCAAGAGGAUUCUUUCUUCUCUAGAUCCUCAUCAACACUUGUUUCUUGUGCUUUUUAUUUUAGCUAUUCAACAGGUGUAAUAAGAUAUCUCAUUGUAGUUUUGAUUUGCAUUCCCCUGAUGAUUAAUGGUGCUGAGCAUCUUUUCAUGUGUUUUUUGGCCAUUUUGUAUGUCUUCUUUGGAGAAAUGUUUGUUCAUGUCUUCUGCCCAUCUUUUAAUUGAAUCAUGUGAUUUUUGGUGUUGAAUUUUAUCAGUUCUGUAUAUAUUUUAUUUUUUAAGAAUUUUUUUUUUUUCAACGUUUAUUUAUUUUUGGGACAGAGAGAGACAGAGCAUGAACGGGAGAGGGGCAGAGAGAGGGAGACACAGAAUUGGAAACAGGCUCCAGGCUCUGAGCCAUCAGCCCAGAGCCCGACGCGGGGCUCGAACUCACGGACCGCGAGAUCGUGACCUGGCUGAAGUCGGACGCUUAACCGACUGCGCCACCCAGGCGCCCCUGUUCUGUAUAUAUUUUAGAUACUCACCCUUUAUCAGAUAUGUCCUUGGCAAAUAUCUCUCCUAUUUAGUUGAUUUUCUUUAGUUUUGUUGGUUGUUUGCUUUGCUGUGCAGAAGCUUUUUCAUUGUGAUGUAGUCCCAAUAGCUUAUUUUUGCUUUUGCUUUCCUUGCCUCAGGAGACAUAUCCUGAAAAAUGUUGCUAUGGUCGAUGUCAGAGAAAUUACUACCUGUACUACUCUCCUCUAGGAUUUUUAUGGUUUCAGGAUUCACAUUUAGGUCUUUAAUACAUUUAAAAUUUACUUUUGUGUGUGUGGUUAGGAAAGUGGGCCAGUUUCAUUCUUUUGCAGGUAGCUGUCCAGUGUUCCCAGCACCAUUUGUGGAAGAGACUAUUUUUUUCCAUUGCAUAUUAUUGCCUCCUUGGUCGAAGAUUAAUUAACCAUAUAAUCAUGGGUUUAUUUCUGGGCUUUCUAUUGUGUUCCAUUGAUCUAUGUGUCUGUUUUGUGCCAGUACCAUACUGUUUCGAUUAUUACAGCUUUGUAGUAUGUCUUGAAAUCUGGAGUUGUGAUACCUUCAGCUUUGUUUUUCUUUUUCAUGAUUACUUUGGUUAUUUCCAUACAAAUUUUAGGAUUAUUUAUUUUAGUAUUUAUUGCAAUGCAGCUCUUCUGGGGAUGAAAUCUCUCCACUUUUGUCUGUCAGAAAACAUACUUUUCAGUUGCUUUUGGAGGUUGUAUUUUGCUAUAUAUAGAAUUCUUUGUUAACUUUUUUUUCCUUUCAAGUACUUAAAAGUUGCCUUUCUAUUGUCUUCUGGCCCACCUGGUUUCCAAUGAGAAGUCAGCAGUAUUUCUCACUGUUGUUUCCCUAUGUGUAAUACAUGUGGCUGGUUUGAAAUUUUAUCUUGGUUUUCAGCAGCUUGAGUCUGAUGUGCCUAGAUGUGCGGGGGAGUGUGUGUGUGUGUGUGUGCGCGCGCGUGCGCAUACACGCUUAGAGUUUGCUAAUUGACAUCUUUCAACAAUUCUGUUAAACUCUCAGCCAUUGUGUCUUUAACAAUUUCUUCUGCCCCAUUCUCUCUUCUUUUUCUCUGGUACUCCAGUUCAUAUAUGUUUCAUAGAUUGCAGAUAUUCGUUGCAUUUUCUGUCCAAUUUCUGUAUUUUGGUUUAUAUAAUUUCUACUAUCUUUAAGUCAUAGGUCAUUUUCUUCCAUGUGUCCAGGCUGCUUCUGAUCCCUUCGAAUGGAUUCUUCACUAGGAUAUUAUGUUUUCCAUUUCUAGCACUUCCAUUUGAUCAUUUUUAUUGUUUCAUUCUCUCUGCUGAGAUUCCCCGUAUGUUUAUGAAUGUUGCCAGCUUUCCUAUUAGAUCCUUUAACAUGUUUUCAUGGUUAUUUUAGAGUCCUUGUCUCAUAAUUCCAGUAUCUGAUUCAUCUCUUGGUCUGCUUCUUUCCUCUCAUGAUUGUAAGUUUCAUUUGCUUGUUUCUUUGUAGGUGUCAUAGUUUUAAUUGUACAUUGCACAGUGUAUAAAAGAAUAGUAGAGGCUAAAGGAAAUGGUCUCUUCUCCAGAAAAUUGCUCAGCCCUUCUGUCAGAAUGCCUAGAAUCCCUAGCCCUGCAGAGACACCAAGUAAGUACCUGUAAGACCUCAGAAAUUUCGUUGUUAAUUUACAGCCUAGAUACCAGCUUUGUGAACCAUGAGAGAUUUCUCUCUGCUUUACAUCCUGUAUUCUAGCUUUUUGAGUCGUUAGUAAUUUCUUUUUUCUAUUUAGUUACAUCCCUAUCUUUAUAUACUCAAGGAGAGCUCUCUCUGCUCUACUCUUCUUUCAGUCUUUGGCAGUUGCUGCUCUGCACUCAAAAGUGACUGAGAAAGAGUUCUCUCCUCUUUCUGCCUUGCUUGUAUACUUCAUUGAGCAUUCUGUUUACUUAGGAAAGAUCUGAGCACCUUAUACGGGAUCUCUCUAAGCCCUUCUGCACCGUCUCAGCCUUUAGCAUAUGAUCCAUGUGCCCUUGGUGAGGGCCUAUGGUAAAUAGCAGGUAGGUGCAUACUCUGUGGCUGGGGCUCCUUGGGAUUCUAGUUCAUCAUGCUAGUUCACUUGCAGUCAUUAAAAAUCCAUUAAAAUGUGGCUGGCUUCACCCUAUCACCUGCUGUGAUGCAUUCCUUUCAUCUUUCAGCUUCUCUGCUAGGAUGAAACAUCUAUAGGUCUUGACUGUUAAGGGAAGGACUCUUUACCCUCUAGAUUUUAGUGUAGUUAGGUUUAUUUUCUGUCCUCAGGUCUCUGGUAGGUUUAAAAACUGAUUUUGUAGCUUAUCUGAUUUGUUGGUAUUGUUAGGAUAGCAGUAACAAUCUUUUGUGAGUCAAAGUUGGAAGGCCUGGAACGUGGAUUUUAAUGACCUCUAGUAGACAGGAGGCAAAGUCAGGAUCUAAGGAAGGGUAGGAGGUAGAAUCCAAGAUUCUAACAUAAGUUGGAACUCUAAAAAGGGUUGAUGUAGAAACUGACCACUCAAAGGGGGACUUACUUGUUUAGGUUGGCUGAAUGAUGAGUAGGAAAAGAGAAAAAGAAUCUACUUGAGAAAUUUGAACCACAAGCAUACACUCUUGCUUUUGGGGACAGAAUUCACUCUACCUGUGUGGUCUGAAUACCACCAAGCCACAUUUCACUUUAAAGUAACCAUAGGUUGGUAUUGUCCCUAUAUGCCUGGCAGGAGCAAAGCAAAUCUUCCCUGUAUAAUUGAUAUAAAACAUGGAUUUCAGCUCUUUCUGUACCCAGAACAGUCAUGACUCAUGGUCCUGAAGCAUGUAGCAGCUCCAAAGCCUUGGAUGCUGGACAUACUAACUGAGGUUUAUGUCCUUUGUGCACCCGCUGGGCCCUCUCGUUAUUUUACUGAAGAACAGACUCAAGUGUGCUCUGAAAGGAGAAAAAGGAGAUCUACCUGCAGUGUUCCUUAAGAUUGAUGGCAGGCUGUAUACUGAUACAGGAUACCCUACUAGUUUUAUGGAUGUCUUCAAUAUUGACAAUAGUGGUGAGAAUUUCCAUCGAAUCUAUGACCCAAGGGUCAUGUUGCUGUUCAUCAAACUAUGCCGGAGGAGGCCACGUAUAAGUUCUAUGAAAUGAGAAAAAUCUUUGUAGGUACCACCCAGAUUGACAUCUUCUUGAUAGAUAUGGAGCUUGACCAAAUCAAUUAGGCAUUUCAUCAAGUUCCGCCAGCCUAUGUAUGUUGACUGAACGUGCUAACCUGGGACACCAAUAGAGAGAGACAAGCUGCUCUUGAUGUGACUCAUGUGAAAGAUGGCAGUAGCUUUGCCACCAGGCUUUCUAAAAUAUUCAUCUUUGGAGAAGACGAUAAUCAUGGAUUUCCCUGCCGAAAAGAAAGAAUACUUGCCUCAUCAUUGCUAAAGACAGAGACUAUUAUCCAAACAGAGCAAUGGGUGAAAUAAUUUCCAAUAAGAAAAAUGGAGAGCUCCUUGCAGUUAAUUAAGGAUAUAUUAGCGCGGGGGAGAAAACAAAAACAAAACACUAUUUUAAGAGAUUUUCCAGGGCGCCUGGGUGGCUUAGUUGGUUAAGUGCCCGAGUUUGGCUCAUGUCACUAUCUUGGGGUUUGUGAGUUUGGGCCCCGCUUGGGGCUGUGCUGACAGCUGAGAGCCUGGUGCCUGCCUCGCAUUCUGUGUCUCCCUCUCUCUCUGCCCCUCUCUCACUCGUACUCUGUCUCUCUUUCUCUCAAAAAUAAAUACACAUUAAAAAUUUUUUUUAAAAAGGAAAUUUCCACCAAGGAACAUAUACUCACAGUUUUUUCUUAAUUACUAAAGCCCAUGAAGAAACAAGCCCAAGUAAAUGAAAGUCAACAGGAACAAAAAUAAUAAUAAAUUGAAGGAUCAGACUCCCAACAUUGAUAUUGGAAUUACUAUAUACAGAUUACAUAUCAACAGUGUUUAGUCUGUCUAAAUUUUGUCUGCAUAAUGAAAAUGAGAAUCUUAAAAUCAUAGUGGUGAAUGAAAAAAAGCAAGUCUAAAAUCCUUAACACGGAUAAACAAAUUUCAGUCUGCUUGUACAGCAGCGUAUCAUAGAGCAGUUUGAAAAAGCACUAGACCUAUUCGUACCAACACGGAUGAAUCCCAGAAAUAGAAUGAAGAGUGAGAAAAGCAUUUGAAAUACAUAUAAUGGAAGUUCUUUUAUAUAAGUUUCAAGACCUAGAAAAAUCAAACAUUAUGCUGUUAAGUGAUACAUCAUGGAUUGUAAAACUAAUUAAAAAAAUUUUUUUAACAUUUAUUUUUGAGAGAUAAUUUUGAAAAGUAGCUGAUAAUUGGGGCGCCUGGGUGGCUCUGCCAGUUAAGCGUCCAACUUCAGUUUAGGUCAUGAUCUUGCAGUUGGUAAGUUCGAGCCCCACGUCAGGCUCUCUGCUGUCAGUGCAGAGCCUGCCUCGGAGUCUCUGUCCCCCUCUCUCUCUCUGCCUCACUCACUCACUCAAAACUAAAUAAACAUUAAAAAAUUAGCUAAUAGUUUAUAAUUCAGAAUGUUGGUUUCAUAUGAAUGGUAAGAAAUUGAAGAAGAUCAGAGAGGGAGUAUAGUUGGCUUAACAGAUUUGUUGGGUUGUGUUUUAUUACUUAAACCAGGAGGCUUAACACACAGGUAUUUGUUUUCAUUACCAUUAUUCAAGUAUAGGACUAUGUGUCAUUCACUAUUUCAUAUGAAUGAAUUGUUUAUUUUUUUUAAACUCAAAUCUUGUUUUAAGAUCAGUGAUCUAAAUCCUUGUUUGGAAGACCUCCCUGAAUCUGCAGCGGUUUUUUUUCUCCAAAGACAGAAUAUCAAACAGGUCCAUCUAGUGGUGGAUUAGAGAAUCUCAAACAAGGAAUAAACGAAUAAUACAUGAGGAUGUAAGGCUUUUUGUUCAAAAAUAGCCCAUUCAACCAAUAAUCCAGUUAAACAAUGGGCAGAAGACAUGAGUAGAUAUUUCUCCAAAGAGACACAUGAAAAAGAUGCUUAACAUCACUUAUCAUCAGGGAAAUACACAUCAAAACCACAAUGAGAUACCACCUCACACCUGUCAGAAUGGCUGAAAUUCACAGCACGGGAAGCAAUGGGUGUUUGGGAGGAUGUGGAGAAAGGGAAACCUUCUUGCACCACUCGUGGGAAUGCAAACUAGCACACCCACCCUGGAAAACAGUAUGGAGCCUCCUCAGAAAGUUAAAAACAAAACUACUCUACAAUCCAGCAAUUGCACUACUAGGUAGUUACCCAAAGGAUACAAAAAUACUGAUUUGAAGGGAUACAUGCACCUCGAUGUUUAAUGAUAGCAUUAUCAACAGUAGCCAAAGUAUGGAAAGAGCCCAAAUGUCCAUUGACUGAUGAACGGAUGAAGACGAUGUGGUGUAUACGUAAAAUGGAAUGUUCGCCGUAAAAACGCAUGAAACCUUGCCAUUUGCAAUGACCUGGAUGGAGCUAGAGAGUAUUAUGCUAAGUGAAAUAAGUCAGAGAAAGACAAAAAAUACGAUUUCACUCAGAUGUGGAAUUUCAGAAACAAAACAGCAUACCUGUCGCAGGCAGAGGCAGAUUUUUCCCCUUACUUCCAGUGCUGUGGCGUUUUCCUCCAGACCUCCUAUUUAUUGCAUCGUCCCUGCCUGAGUCCUGAGUAUUGGAGAACUCCUUCCUACUUUUUUUUUUUUGCCUAAGCUCAAAUGCUGCCCUCACUUCACCUCUAAGGUCAUAAGAUAAAUUCAUGCCACUGUUUAAGUUUUAGGUCACUCUAGACGUGUGAAUAAAUUGUUGAAUGAAAAUGUGCAGAGUACGGAACUGUUGGUGGCAUAUGUUCCCAUUUGUAUCUUUUUAAAGUUUAUUUUGAGAGAAAGAGUGUGCACAUGCACACGAGCAGGGGAGGGGCAGAGAGAGGGGGAGAGAGGAGAGGGGAAUCCCAAGCAGGCUCCACGCUGUUCACGAGCAGGUUAGUGAGUCCUGAUGGGGGGUUCGAUUCCAUGAAGCGUGAGAUCAUGAUCUGAGCUGAAAUCAGGAGCCGAGUGCUUAACCAACAUAGCCACCCAGGUGCCCCCAUUUGUAUUUUUAACAAGGAUAUAUGUGUGUUUUCAUAUACCUAGACUAUCUGGGGAAGGACAAAGAAGAAAGUGAUAACCUAGGCCUUUGGAGGGGGGAGGACUCUUGGAGAAAUUGAGAAGGAGACUUUGUUUUUCUUUUACUGUCUACUUAUUGUUGCUCAUUCAGUUUUGUUGCAAUGUGCAUAUAUUACUCCCUCGUACAAAUUUUACAGAGAGAAAAUGCUAUGUAUUCUAUACAUGUAGAUGCCAUCACUCUGAUAAACUUCCUACAGAUAAAGCACAUUGAUGCUUUCUAACAGACUUUAUAUCUUAUAUCUAACAGAUUUUAUAUCCAGUUAUAAAACUGGAUAUAUGUGUAUAAACAUGUAUAUGUUUAUGCGCUGUGGCAUAGGACAAACUUAGAUUGUCAGGAGAAUGGUCUUGCUUGGAUCGAAAGGCUCUCUCUCCUGUGUGUCUUUGGACAUACUCAUUGCCCUUAAUAUUUAGCUAUAACUUUUAGCUUAAAAUGAUUUAUCUUAACAACUGACUUUUUUUCCCCGAUUAAGUUGAAAAAAAUCAGUUUACCCUUUUUGUUUAUGUUUGAGUCUUGUUUCGUUAUAAACCCAGUGAAAUGUAACAGCAAUCUCAAACUGACACAUAACCUUUGCAAAGAUCUACUUCAGACACUAACUGGAAGAAACACUGUAAUUCCUUUUGUCUUAGCAAACUCUAAAAUGAAUGUGCAAUCAAGUAUCACCAGUGAAAACAUGAGUGUUUUCUGAGCAAAUCUUUUGUAGUGGAUGGAGAGUGUUUGACUCCUCAACAUUUGCUCCCCCUUCCCAUUGUAAGACAGCAGUGAACUUCCAGGAACUGACUUGAGCUCCAUUGAUGUGCCCUGGUUAGGAAGUCAGUGAUUGAUUGAUUGAUUGAUUGAUUGUUUCUUUAUAAUUAAAAAAAAAUUUUUAUAUAUGAAAUUUAUUGUCAAAUUGAUUUCCAUACAACACCCAGUGCUCAUCCCAACAGGUGCCCUCCUCAAUACCCAUCACCCACCCACCACCCCUCCCUUCCACCCCCCAUCAACCCUCAGUUUGUUCUCAGUUUUUAAGAGUCUCUUAUGCUUUGGCUCUUUCCCUCUCUAACCUCUUUUUUUUUUUUUCCUUCCCCUCCCCCAUGGUCUCCUGUUAAGUUUCUUAGGAUCCACAUAGAAGUGAAAACACAGGGAAUCUGUCCUUCUCUGUAUGACUUGUUUCACUUAGCAUAACACUCUCCAGUUCCAUCCACAUUGCUACAAAAGGCCGUAUUUCAUUCUUUCUCAUUGCCAUGUAGUAUUCCAUAGUGUAAAUAAACCACAAUUUCUUUAUCCAUUCAUCAGUUGAUGGACAUUUAGGCUCUUUCCAUCAUUUGGCUAUUGUUGAAAGUGCUGCUAUAAACAUUGGGGUACAAGUGCCCUUAUGCAUCAGCACUCCCGUAUCCCUUGGGUAAAUUCCUAGCAGUGCUAUUGCUGGGUCAUAGGGUAGAUCUAUUUUUAAUUUUUUGAGGAACCUCCACAGUGUUUUCCAGAGCGGCUGCACCAGUUUGCAUUCCCACCAACAGUGCAAGAGGGUUCCCAUUUCUCCACAUCCUCUCCAGCAUCUAUAGUCUCCUUAUUUUUUCAUUUUAGCCACUCUGACUGGCAUGAGGUGAUACCGGAGUGUGGUUUUGAUUUGUAUUUCCCUGAUGAGGAGUGACGUUAAGCAUCUUUUCAUGUGCCUGUUGGCCAUCUGGGUGUCUUCUUUAGAGAAGUGUCUAUUCAUGUCUUCUACCCAUUUCACUGGAUUAUUUGUUUUUCGGGUGUGGAGUUUGGUGAGCUCUUUAUAGAUUUUGGAUACUAGCCCUUUGUCCGAUAUGUCAUUUGCAAAUAUCUUUUCCCAUUCCAUCGGUUGCCUUUUAGUUUUGUUGAUUGUUUCCUUUGCAGUGCAGAAGCUUUUUAUCUUCAUGAGGUCCCAAUAGUUCAUUUUUGCUUUUAAUUCCCUUGCCUUUGGGGAUGUGUCAAGUAAGAAAUUGCUGCGGCUGAGGUCAGAGAGGUUUUUUCCUGCUUUCUCCUCUAGGGUUUUGAUGGUUUCCUGUCUCAUAUUCAGGUCCUUUAUCCGUUUAGAGUUUAUUUUUGUGAAUGGUGUGAGAAAGUGGUCUAGUUUCAUCCUUCUGCAUGUUGCUGUCCAGUUCUCCCAGCACCAUUUGUUAAAGAGACUUUUUUCUGUUGGAUAUUCUUUCCUGCUUUGUCAAAGAUUAGUUGGCCAUACUUUUGUGGGUCUAUUCUGGGGUUUCUAUUCUAUUCCAUUGGUCUAUGUGUCUGUUUUUGUGCCAAUACCAUGCUGUCUUGAUGAUUACAGCUUUGUAGUAGAGGCUAAAGUCUGGGAUUGUGAUGCCUCCUGCUUUGGUCUUCUUCUUCAAAAUUACUUUGGCUAUUCGGGGCCUUUUGUGGUUCCAUAUGAAUUUUAGGAUUGCUUGUUCUAGUUUCGAGAAGAAUGCUGGUGCAAUUUUGAUUGGGAUUGCAUUGAAUGUGUAGAUAGCUUUGGGUAGUAUUGACAUUUUAACAAUAUUUAUUCUUCCAAUCCAUGAGCAUGGAAUGUUUUUCCAUUUCUUUAUAUCUUCUUCAAUUUCCUUCAUAAGCUUUCUAUAGUUUUCAGCAUACAGAUCUUUUACAUCUUUGGUUAGAUUUAUUCCUAGGUAUUUUAUGCUUCUUGGUGCAAUUGUGAAUGGGAUCAGUUUCUUUAUUUGUCUUUCUGUUGCUUCAUUAUUAGUGUAUAAGAAUGCAACUGAUUUCUGUACAUUGAUUUUGUAUCCUGCAACUUUGCUGAAUUCAUGUAUCAGUUCUAGCAGACUUUUGGUGGAGUCUAUCGGGCUUUCCAUGUAUAAUAUCAUGUCAUCUGCAAAAAGUGAAAACUUGACCUCAUCUUUGCCAAUUUUGAUGCCUUUGAUUUCCUUUUGUUGUCUGGUUGCUGAUGCUAGCACUUCCAACACUAUGUUAAACAACAGCAGUGAGAGUGGACAUCCCUGUCGUGUUCCUGAUCUCAGGGAGAAAGCUCUCAGCUUUUCCCCAUGGAGGAUGAUAUUAGCUGUGGGCUUUUCAUGUCUAUGGCCAUACCACCCUGAACACGCCCGAUCUCAUCUGAUCUCGGAAGCUUAGCAGGGUAGGGCCUGGUUAGUACUUGGAUGGGAGCCAGUGAUUGUUUCAAGGACCUAGCCCUACCAUUGUUUUUGGGGAAAUGUAAAUUUGUCCCCAAAAACUGAAGAUAAAGACUUCCUCUUUUGGUGGCUUAGGGAGAGGCAAUUUCUCUCAUCUGCUGGAUGUAAAUAAAGGAGUAAGCAAGCUUUAUUGUAGUUGGUAGCUGUCCUCCAACCUGGAGGGGAAACCAGACAUGGAUUGAUACAGAUGCUGUGGUUAUAGAGCAAAGAAAGGGAAAGAAGCUGUGUUCUUGAUGACACAAGUGAGUCGCUCAACCAACCAACCCUGGAGCCCGCCCCAUCCCUGGACCUUAUGUAAAUGCCAGCUGGUCGGUUUUUUAUUGUUUGAGUCAAAUUGCUUUGCUUGGUUUUUCUAUUACUUUCAGUUGAAAGCAUCCUGAUGCAUAUUUCAAUAGAACAGUAAGAAAAACCCUCAGUAAGUAAAUGACACAAUAUCAAGGCUAGAUUUUGGGUACUCUUCUCCUAUUGGAUCACUUGAAUAUUUUAAUUGUAAAAGUGCAAGUAUAUUUCAGAGCAUGGAUAUUCAUACACCCUCCUACUGGUUCUCCUACUAGUAUGGUGUAGUGUCUUAGUCUGUUCAGACUGCUCUAACAGAAUACCACACACUGGGUGGCUGAAACAUCAGAUAUUUAUUUCUCCUGGUUCUGGAGGCUGGAAGGUGGAGAUCAGGGUACCAGCAGGUCAAGUUCUUGGUGAAGACCUCUUCCUGGUUAACAAUGGCCACCUUUUUCUUGCAUGCUCACAUGGCAGAGAGAGAUGAUUUCUUUCAUGACUCUUUAUAAAAGCACUAAUCUCACUGAUGAGGGCUCUACUGUCAUGACCUUAUUACUUCCCAAAGGUCCAACCUCCCAAUAUCAUUACAUUUGGGGUUAGGGCUUCAACAUGUGAAUUUUGGGGAGACAUAGACUUUCAGUGCAUACCAUAGAGUAUAACAUGGAUAGUAUUAAAUGGUAAUGCAGGUAAACUAUAUCUUUACUGUGAGAGAGAGUUAACCCUUAGAUUAACCAUUAAGCAAAAUCAGCACAUACUUAGGUGUUCUACACAAAACACCUGUAACAUAAUAGCAUAUUAUUAUGCUAUAACAAAAAUACUAUAAACUGGUUGGCUUAAAAACAACAAAUAUUUAUUUCUGACAAUUCUGGAGGCUAGGAAGUCCAAGAUCAAUUUACCAGCAGAUUCAGUAUCUAGCAAGCACCCUCUUCCUGGUUCUUAGAUGGCCAUUGUUUCUGGUUUGGUUUUUGUGUUUUUUUGUUGUUGUUUUGGUUUUUGUUUGUUUGUUUGUUUUGUUUUUCACCUCCCUGUGUUCUCACGUGGAGAAAGAGAUAAGGAAUCUCCCCUCUGGGGCCUCUUUAAUAAGGGCACUAAUUCCAUUCACAAGAGCUUCACUCCUAAUCACCUCCCAAAGACCCCUCCUUUUAACAUCAUCACAUUGGGGAUCAGCAUGUGAAUUUUGGAAGGAUAUAUUCAGUCUGUAGCAUUAGGGCACUAGAGAAAGAGGGGCAUCAUGGGGCUUUUUCAAAUUGUAAUAAAAUCAGUUUUAGAUCAAGUUUUAGGAAUUCAUUACAUCCUGGUGCUUAAUCUAGAAACUAACCCUAUGAUUCAGAAGCUACAUAUAAGUUGGUUGGCUUUUUAUCCAUGUAUUUAGCUACGCUAUUGAUUGUACAUUCAUUAUAAACUCCUAAUUCAGGGUGUUUUUUUCCCCCAUGUUUCAAGUUUUCUAUUUUUUUUUUUUUGAGUCAGUUUUAAUAAAUUCAGUUUAUAUUUAUAGGAAAUUGUCUAUUUUGUCUACAUUUUCCAAUUGGCAAAAAGUUGUUCACAAUAUUCUUUUUAAAAUCCCUGCAGCAUGUGUUUGUUCAUACCCUUUUUUAUUCCAACAGUUUUUGAUUUUUUCCUUGUCUUUUUCUUUUCCAGUCAUUUUUUAUUUUCUCUCAUUCACUGGUCUUUCUAAGCAACCAUCUUGAUGAUAAAUAAUUUUUAAGAAAAAAAAAAGAGUAAAGGGAAUAUUUCUUCCACAUGUUAGAAUGCAUUUUAAAUGUAGAACUGAUCCAAAACAGAUGCUACAAAGAGUAUGGCAAAGUAGAAAAUCUAUUAAUGUAUGAAAUUACACAUAAAAUAUAUAUGAGUGUCAUAAAUGAGAUUAAUAUAUGUGUAUAUAUGUGUUUAUAUAUGUAUAUGCAUAUCAUAUACUUUGUAAACCUCAUCAGUAAGGUACAUUGAGUCACAGAGAAGGAAUAUCAGCUAAUAAACAUUUUAAAUCUAGGGGCGCCUGGGUGGCUCAGUCGGUUGAGCAUCUGACUUUGGCUCAGGUCAUGAUCUUUUGGUUUGUGGGUUCGAGCCCCGCAUCGGGCUCUGUGCUGACAGCUCAGAGCCUGGAGCCUGCUUCAGAUUCUGUGUCUCCCUCUCUCUCUGCACCCCCACUCUCUCUCCUUCAAAAGUAAAUAAACAUUAAAAAUAUUUUUUAAAAAAUAAACAUUUUAAAUCUAGUAGUGUUAAUCAUAAUAACACAAAUCCAAAUGGUAAUAAAAUACCAUUUACAUCUUAUAAAAGAAAAAGUAAGUAAGUGUAAUAGUUAAUUUAGGUAUGUGUUCAAGAUAACUGGUUAACUCAACAUUUGUAAGAAUUAUUCCUUAAUUCAUUUUGGAUCCCUAUUGGACAAUAUGCAUUAAAUGCAUAGAAAUAAUACUCACAUCCAUUGUUCUAAUGAAGAAUGUCAUAAGGAUUUAUUUUAAAAUAAUUCAGGGGCGCCUGGGUGGCGCAGUCGGUUAAGCGUCCGACUUCAGCCAGGUCACGAUCUCGCGGUCCGUGAGUUCGAGCCCCGCGUCGGGCUCUGGGCUGAUGGCUCAGAGCCUGGAGCCUGUUUCCGAUUCUGUGUCUCCCUCUCUCUCUGCCCCUCCCCCGUUCAUGCUCUGUCUCUCUCUGUCCCAAAAAUAAAUAAACGUUGAAAAAAAAAAAAUUAAAAUAAUUCAAAAGAUAAAACUAUAUUCAUGAUGAUUAAUGCAGCACUAAUUAUAAAAUUGAAAAUUGGAAAAACUUUAAAUGCUCGACAAUAGAGGGAGUGGUCAGGAACAGCAUCAUCUGUAAACUGGGUUAAACAUUACGUGCUUCUGAAAAAUUAAAAAUGUAGCGCUUGAUAUGCGUAUCACCAUUUACUGAGCACUUACUAUGAAACAGAUACUAUGUAUAUAUUACCUCUAAAUCUCACAGUCAGUCUGCACAUUAAGUCCUUUUCCUUCUCAGCGCAAAGCUUCUAGGUCUGGUGCUUUAUGAAAUUAAGUCACUUGCUCAGGGCAGCGCAGCUGGCAAAGUGGUAGAGUGGAGUGUUCAUCCCGUGCCAGUGCGGUGCCUGCCGUACGGGUGGCCCGGUGAGAGUGGAAAGGCCCUACUCACAACCUCUGCUGAAGGAGUGGCCUGUGGCGGCCACAUUCUGUACUGUGUGAUUUCUGCACUUUUACCACAGCCACCUUUCCUGUUGCUGUCGGGGUCGGGGUCUCACCCAAGGGCAGCCAAUCCAAGCUCAGGCUAGCAGCUUCUGAUACGGUCUGUCAUGGAACGCUCUGCUAGAGAAGAGAGGGAUUAUCUCCUUUCUUACUCUUAUUUCUCUAGUUUUAGGCAUAAUGAGCAAAUCAGGCAGUUGUUGGGAACUGAACUGGGAGAAUGUGAGACAAGCUUGGAGGGCGUUUCAGAAUGCUCUCGAGAGCACUGCUAACCGGGUGAGACAGAGGUCAACUGCUAGAUCACCCAUGCCAGAAAGACGGGGGUGGGUUCAAAUCAGACAGGAAGAAUCAAAAUAUGAAGUAAGGCGAAAUGGGUGUCAAUCACACUAACUUCUGUAAAUAAUGCCUACGUCUGUAAAAUCAUGCUCAUUACAUAAUCUAGUCCCUUCAUGAUCUUGUCACUUCUCCAGGCUCAUCUCUUAACUCCAGCUAAGUCAGAAAACUCGUGUGUCUGUAAGUACACUAAGCUGGUUAUCGGUUUAUUGCUUCUCAGCUCCAGAUUUAUCCUGUGCCUGAAUUAAUCAGUAUACCAUGCCUUCCUCUCCAUAGAAUGCAUUUUUGUUCGUCUACCUUAUUCCCUUGCAUCUUCCAAGACUUGGUUCAAGAGAAACUUCCUCUGAAAAGCUUUCCGUGAUCUUCUCGAUCACACUAAAGCCACCUGAGCACAAGUCCAUGGAGACCCUCUUGGCUGUCAUAGCUUUACCUCAGGAGAAGUUAGUUUGAGUCGUGAUCAGAUGUGAAAUAAGCAGGAGACAAAAGAGAGGAUUAAGUACCAGCUGUCACAAGGAGUGACUGAGGAAACAACAGAAUGCCAGCUCCUAAAAGUGUUUCCUCAAGAGAGAGGCAGACGCAUGAGUUAUAAUUGCUCACCCAUCCUUCUUUUACUUCCUGAGUUAAAGUAGAUAUAUAGUAUAUAUCUACGUAUAUAUCUACAUAUACACAUAUAUGUCUAUAAAAUAUACUUCAAUAUAUAUGUAUGUGUAUAUUUGAAAGCCUGAAACAGAUAGACUUUUUAUCCAUUUGUAACUGGGGCAAAACUGAUCCGGCUCUACAUUAAUGAGAAUGACACACUAUAAUAGCAAUUUGUGCUACAAACCGUUCUUGAGGCAACCAUCUGUGCUACGCAAAUAAAUUUGCCUCUGAAACUGCAAGACAACACUUACCCAGAGUCCUACAGAGAAUCCAGAUGCAAAUUUGCCUGGCGCGCUGCCUUUGCUGUAUCUCUUUGGCUUACCAGUUUGUGAGCAAAUUCAUAUAUAAAAUUUAAAAAGCUGGCUCGGGACUCUAGUGUGAGGCAGAAACAUAAUAGCAGCAAUUUGUAUUUAUGUAAGUAGAGUCUCUGUCCCAAACGAUCUCAUCAUUUCAAAAUAUGCUCUCAUUCAUUUACACCACAUUAUCAAAAGCCGAGAAGGUUUAAAUAGAUAUUUGAAGGUGAUUCGAAGUAUUUGCAGCAGUCUGCAUUAGUUUGAACCAGACAUGGGUGUUGUGAUUUGUAUGUCCUUUAGGGAAUGUUCCUUAGGGAAUAGCACUUUCAAUCCAGACAUUUUAUUUCUCACCAGCUCAUUGUUUGAAGUCCCAUAACGUUUUAUUUCUUCAUCUAUUAUGCCUAAGAUCUACCAAACACUGAGCUCAGAAGUAGAAAUAAAAUCAUAAGACUCAAACUUUGGAACGUAUAAAACUUAGAGCUUAGCUAUACUUGUCUUCCCUAAGCUUUACUGAGCUAUAAUCACAUAUGAGGUAUGUGUAAGUUUAACAUGUACAAUUGUGAUGAUUUGGUACACAUAUCUUUUGUGAAAUGUUUACCACAAAGAGUUUAGUUAACACACCCUCUUUAUCACAUAACGUCAUUCAUUGGUGUUAAUAUGAGAACGUUCAAAAUCUACUCUGAUAGCCACUUGUAAUAUACAGUAUUGUUAACCAUGGUCACUGUGCUGUGCAUUUGAUUCCUGGAGCUUACUCUGCUUAUAACUUGAAGUUUGUACUCUUUGAUCGACAUCUCCUCAGUUCCCCAUCUCCAGUCCCUGGCAACCAUGGUUCUACUCUUUGCUUCUGUGAGUUUACCUGUUUCAAAUUCUACACUUAAGAGAGAUCAUGUAGUAUUUGUCUUUUCUGUCCGACUUAAUUUCACUCAGCCUAGUAACCCUCCAGGUCCAUCCGUAUUGUUGCAAUGGCAGGAUUUCCCUCUUUUUAAAGACUGUCUAAACAUUCCAUUGUGUGUGUGCGUUAUUUAUUAAUCCAUCGACAGACGCUUUGGUGGUUUUCAUGCCGUGGCUAUUGUGAGUAAUGCUGCAAUGGGCACAAGCGUGUGGAUGCCUCUUCGAGGUAGUGAUUUCAUUUCCUUUGAAUAUACACUCAGCAACGGAACUGCCAGAUCGUAUGAGAGUUCCAUUUUUACAUUUUUCCCAGUUUUAAUUUUUUGAGUAACCUCCAUCCUGUUUUCCGUAGUGGUUUGCCCCAGGUUACAUUCCCAUCAACAACGCGCCAAGCGCGUUUCCUUUUCUUCACAUUCUUGCUGACAAUUGUUAUCUCUUGUCUUUUUGAUACUAGCUAUCCUAUCAGGUGUGAGUUGAUACCUCACUGCAGUUUUGAUCCGCGUUUCCCUGAUGAUGAGUAAUGCUGAGCACCUUUCCAUGUACCUGCUGGCCAUUUGUAUGUCUUACGUGGAAAAAUGUCUAUUCAGGUCUUUGCCCAUUUUUAAAUCGGAUUGUGUGUGUGUGUAUGUGUGUUUUGCUCUUGUAUGAGCGCCUUUUAUAUUUCAGAUAUUCCUUGUCAGAGAGGUGGUUUGCAAAUAUUUUCUCCCAUUCCAUAGAUUGCCUGUUCAUUUUGUUCCUUAUUUCUUUUCCUGUGCAGAGCUUUUUAUUUUUUUAAUUUUAUUUCAUCAUGUGUAAUCUGUAAUCCCCAUCCCCCCAUCCACCUCCCGUCUGGUAGCCAUUAGUUUGUUCUCUAUAGUUAAGAGUCUGUUUCUUGGUUUGUGUCUCUUUUUUUCUUUGCUCAUUUGUUUUGUUUCUUAAAUUCCACACGUGAGUGAAAUCAUAUGGUAUUUGUCUUUCUCUGACUUAUUUCACUUAGCAUUAAAUUCCCUAGCUCCAUCCAUGUUGUUGCAGAUGGCAAGAUUUCAUUCUUUUUUAUGGCCAAGUAAUAUUCCGCUGUAUAUAUAUACCGCAUCUUCUUUAUCCAUUCAUGCAUUGAUGGAGAGUUGGCUGCUUCCAUAGUUUGGCUAUUGUAAAUAGUGCUACAACAAACGUAAGUGUGCAUGUAUUCCUUUGAAUUAGCGUUUUUGUAUUUUUUGGGUAAAUACCCAGUAGUACAAUUCCUGGAUCAUAGGCUGGUUCUAUUUUAAGUUUUUUGAGGAGCUUCCGUAAUGUCUUCCACAGUGGCUGCACCAGUUUGCAUUUCCACCAACAGUGCAAGAGGGUUCCUUUUUCUCCAUAUCCUUGCCAACACUUGUUGUUUCCUGUGUUUUUUUGUUUUUGUUUUUUACUGUUAGCCAUUCUUACAGGCAUGAGGUGAUACCUCAUUGUAGUUUUCAUUUACAUUUCCCUGAUUAUGAGUGAUGUGGAGCAUCUUUUCAUGUAUCUGUUGGCCAUCUGGAUGUCGUCUUUGGAGAAAUGUCUGUCCGUGCCUUCUGCUCAUCCUGCCCAUCUUUUAAUUGGUUUAUUUAUUUGGGGGGUAUUUGGUUGUAUCAGUUAUUUAUAUAUUUUGGAUACUAACCCUUUGUUGAAUGUCAUUUGCAAAUAUCUUCUCCUAUUCAGUAGGUUGCCUUCGUGCAGAGCUUUUUAGUUUGAUGUAUUCCCGUUUACUGGUUUCUUGUUGCUGUUGCUUGUAUUUUUGGUGUCCUGUUGAAAAAGUCUUGUCAAGACCAAUAUCAAGAUUUUUCUCUAUGUUUUCCUCUAGGAUUUUUACAGUUUCAGGAUUACAUUUCAAAUUUUAGGAUUGUUUUUCUAUUUCUAUAAAAAUACCUUUGGGUUUUGCUUUGGAUAUUAUGAACACUUUAACAAUAUUAAUGUUUCCAAUCUAUGAAUUGAAAUGUCUUUUCACUUAUUUGUGUAUUCUUCAGUUGCUGUGAUCAGUGUCUCCAUAGUUUUCACUUCUUUGGUCAAGUUUAUUCCUAAGGAUUUCAUUCUUUUUGAUAUUACUAUAAAUGGGAUUGUUUUCUUUCUUUUUCAGAUAGUUUGUUGUUAGUGUACAGCAAUGCAUUUGACUUCUGCACUUUGAUUUUUUUAUCCUACAACUUUAUUGAACUAAUUUUUUCAUUGUAACAGUAUUUUUGGUGAGGUUUUUAGGAUUUUCUAUUUACAAAAUCAUGUCAUCAGCAAACAGAGACCAUUUUACUUCUUUUCUGAUGACAGCUUUUAUUUGUUUUUCUUGCCUAACUACUCUGUUAGGACUUCCAAUACUAUGUUAAAUAGGAGUCUUAUCUUGUUCCUGAUCUUAGAGGGAAAGCUUUCAGCCUUUCACUGUUUUUUUUAAAAAUUUUUUUUAACGUUUAUUCAUUUUUGAGAGACAGAGACAGAGUGCGAGUAGGGGAGGGGCAGAGAGAGAGAGAGAGAGAGAGAGACAGAAUCUGAAGCAGGCUCCAGGCUCUGAGCUGUCAGCACAGGGCCCAACGCAGGGCUCGAACCCACGAACUGUGAGAUCAUGACCUGAGCCAAAGUCGGACGCUUAACCGAUUGAGCCACCCAGGCGCCCCAGCUUUUCACUGUUGAGUGUGAUAUUAGCUGUGGGCUUGUAUAUAUGGCCUUUAUUAUGUUGAGGUACAUUCCUUCUAUAUUCACUUUAUUGAGAAUUUUUAUCAUGAAUGAAUGUUGAAUUUUGUCAAAUGAUUUUUCUGUAGAUGAUGAUCUGCAUAAUCUGCAUCAUUUUUAAGAUGACCUUAUGAUUUUUAUAUUCUAUUCUAUUGUGGUAUAUCACGAUUAUGUAUUUAUAGGAUAAAUAAGCCAUCCUUGCAUCCCAGGGAUAAAUCCCACCUGACAUGAUGCAUAAUCCUUAUAAUGUGCUGUUGAAUUCAGUUUGCUAGUAUUUUGUUGAGAAUUUUGCAUCUGUAUUCAUUGGGGAUUUGGGCCUGUAGUUCUCUUGUCAUGUCCUUGUCUGGUCUUGGUAUCAAGGUAAUGCUGGCCUUCUCAAAUGAAUUUGGAAGUGUUCCCACCUCAUCAAAUUUUUGGAAGAGUUUAAUAGGGAUUGAUGUUAAUUCUUCUUUUUUUUUUUUUCAACGUUUAUUUAUUUUUGGGACAGAGAGAGACAGAGCAUGAACGGGGGAGGGGCAGAGAGAGAGGGAGACACAGCAUCGGAAACAGGCUCCAGGCUCUGAGCCAUCAGCCCAGAGCCUGACGCGGGGCUCAAACUCACGGACCGCGAGAUCGUGACCUGGCUGAAGUCGGACGCUUAACCGACUGCGCCACCCAGGCGCCCCUGUUAAUUCUUCUUUAAAUGUUUGGUAGAAUUUAUCCAUGAAGGUAUCUGGUCAUGGGCUUUUCUUUGAUGGGAGGUUUCUGAUUACUAUUUCAAUCUCCUUGCUCAGGAUUGGUGUAUUCAGAUGUUCUGUUUCUUCUGAUUCAGUCUUGGUGGGUUGUAUGUUUCUAGGAAUUUAUUCAUUUCUUUGAGGUUGUCCAGUUUGUUGGCAUAAUUGUUCCUAAUUGUCUCUUAUGAUCCUUUAUCUUUCUGUAUAUCAGUUGUAAUGUCCCUUCUUUCAUUUAUAGUAUUAUUUAUUUGAGUCUUCUCUUUUUCCUUGGUAAGUCUAGCUGAAGGUUUAUGGAUUUUAUUUAUCAUUUCAUAACACCAGCUCCUAAUUUUGGUGAUCUUUUUUAUUUUUCUAUUUUUUAUUUCUGGCUCAGAUAUUUGCUAUUUCCUUCUUUCUGUUAAUUUUGAACUGUGGGAUUAGUUUGUUCUAUUUCUGGUUCCUUGGGGUGUAAAGUUAGGUUGUUUAUUUGAGAUCUCUUUUUUUUCUUAAUUUAGGCAUUUAUCAGUAAGCUUUCCUCUUAGAACUGUUUUUGCUACAUCCCAGUAAGUUUUGUUGCUUCUAUUUUUGUUUGUUUGAAGAUAUUUUUUUAUUUCCCUUUUGAUUUCUUCUUUGACCCAUUGGUUAUUUAGAAGCGUGUUGUUUAAUUUCCACAUUUGUGAAUUUCCUAGUUUAACUUUAAAAAAAAAUUGAUUUCUAGUUUCAUACCGCUGAAGUUGGAAAAGUUACUUGGUAGAUUUUCAAUAUUUUUUAAAUUGCUAAGACUUGUUUUGUGGUCUAGUGUAUGAUCUACCCUGGAGAAUGUACCAUGUGCACUUGAGAAGAAUCUGUAUUCUGCUGCUCUUGGAUAGGAUGUUUUAUAUAUUUCUGUUAGAAACAUUUGUUUUGAAAUAUAGUUCAAGUCCAGUGUUUCCUUAUUAAUUUUCUGUCUGGAUGUUCUGUGCAUUGUUGAAAAUGGGGUAUUGAGUUCCCUACCUUUGCUGUAUUUCUGUUUUUCCCUUUGUAUCUAUUGAUAUAUGAUUAAUAUACUUACGUAUAUAACUUUAUAUAUCACUAUAUACAUAUAUAUAUAACUGUGUAUGUGUGUGUAUAUAUAAUAUAUAUGUGUGUGUAUAUGUGUGUGUGUGUAUAUAUAUAUAUAUAUAUAUAUAUAUAUAUAUAUAAUUUAUUAUGUUCCUUUGGUGGUAGCAUGUUUCCCUGAUUCUUCACCAUCCCUCUAGCCUUAUACAGAUAUCUGCACAUUGGAAGGCACAGUCACCUCUUCCAGACUUUAUGGACUGUCUUUGGUUAGGAAAGACCUCUACCCCUGUGGGUGGGGACAAGCUGGAGCAUGUUGGAACCUGGCUCUAGCAGCACAGAGCACCACAUGUAGGGCCUUGUCCAGGUCCAGCGGUUGUGAGGUCUCAUCUUCUCAGCCUGCUGGGGUCCAUGACGAUAACUACAUGAUUCUCGACAAGGACUGCAGAGGGAUGGCAUGGCUACAAGGCCUGUUGGAGUCCUCGGCGGUGCCUUCAGGUCCAGUGGCCAGGGACCAGGGUGGGCCUCGGUGGCGACCAGAGCUGGUGAUGCACAGGUACUCAGUUGUGGGGACCAGCUACAAACGCCCUGUAGUGGCAGUGGUUGGAUCAGACGUGGUGGUGGUGGCCAGGGCCAGCAGCAAGGUACCAUGGCCAAGUGCGAGUACACUCGCAGCUGCAGGGGCUGUGGCUGUCAGCAUGCACUCCGUAGCUGCAGCGUCUCCCUGUGGGCACAGCAGAGCAGUAUAUAAGCCAGUGACGGGAGUUAGCCUGGAGGCACACACACGCGUCGUUAGAGGGGCUAGCUGCGGGGAGCCCCCUGGUGCAGGCCAGUGCCGGGCGACGGGGCUGGACCCAGGCCCAUCAGCAGCCGUCAGGGCCCUGGCUGUUGGUGUUCACUCUAGUGACCGUAAGAUCUCUCCGUGGGUGCCAGCAUGUGCUGGUAGAGGCUGGCGGUGGAAAUCAGGCCGGCAGCACGUAGGUGCACAGCUGGAGGGGCUAGCUAGCUCCAAAUGUGCACACAGCGGCGAGGGGUCAGCCUCCAGCACCUAGGCUGUGUCGUGUACUCGCACAGCCACAGAGGCCAGGGCUGGCUGCCAGCAUGGAUAGCGGUUCCGGAAGGGAGUGGGACUGGGGACAGAGUUACGGGGGCAUCAGGUAGCUGGCAUCCGUGAUUAGGAAAACCUUCCCGGGAAACCCUCAGUGGUGAAAUCUGUAGGGGUCCGCGGUGGCUGUGUCGGUCAUUGGUUUCUUCAGUGGCAAAAGCUACUGCUGUCCUCUGCAGAGCAGGUCACUGGGAACCACAGUCACUCCUGCUGUGUGGCUACUGCAGGCAGCUCUGCUCUUUUUUGUUCCUAGCUACCUCCAUUGUGUCUCGGCCUUUUCAGUCUCUGGGUGGGAUGAGACCAAAGUGGGUUCUUUGUGCAGUGCCCCAAAAGACUGGGGGAGCUGGUCGCUCUCCCUGCUCUCCCUUUGCCUUCGAGGGAACACUCAGUGCUGUGCAGUAUUGGCCUGGGGGAUGGGAUGAUGCAGGCAAAGCAGUCCUAUUCUUUCUUUUUUGUGUGGUUGUUCUCAGGUUUUGUUCCACUGUGUUGCUUGCUGAAGUUCAAGUGGACCCUGAACUUGAUCAGAGCCAUUUUUGUUUGUGGAUAGCCAGCUGUUGAUCUUUAUGGGUGGAUGGAGGGUGGGGUCUCCUACUCUGCCGUGGUGGUGAUGACACCCAGCUUAGUUUUUUAUUUUCUUUUUAAAACAAGCUCUGGCUAGUUUUACUAAAGAAAAAUUUUGCACGAUUUACUUUUCACCAGUCUGUUCUGGCAUGUUUCCAAUGCUAUCAGAAUCACCUGGAUCAAUGGUAGCCAGUGUGCAUAUUGACAGUCUUUCCCACAUGCUGUGCCCAGUCCAGUAUGAUUGCCACUGUAGUGAUGGACACCAGUUUUGGCCAACAUGGCAGAGUGUUCUAUUUCAGAUCUCCUCAAAGCUGGGCAGUUGCUGGCGAGGAUGACCAGAGUUUCGCUUUGCCAUGUCUGAUCAUUUUCAGACUCUGCUUGUACCCCAGCACGUACUUUCCACUUUUCAUAACGAUCUGGAGCCUAGAAUUUAUGGACUCCAGUGACAUUUUUGUCUUCUUUGUGGCCGCCAUAUUCCUGCCUUAGGUGUGGGGUGGCCCCAAUCUAGAACAUACAGAGGGCAGGAUAGGAAGUUUAGGAUUGGAGCUCCAAGUGGCAACUUUCUGGGCUCCCCAUGCUGCCUAAACCGCAGCCCCACAGACUCAAGCCCAGCUUAAUUAUUCUUAACAGUAACUUGGCACCUCUUCUAAAAAUGAGUCAUUUGUUUUCUAGCAUGCUUUUAAAAGCAUCUCAUUAUAGAAUUAACACAGUCUAAUUAGAAAAAAAAUGGAAUGUAUAGAAAAGCAAAAGGAAGAAAAUGAAGCUGUCUGCAAUCUAACAUUUGGGAAUAGCUACUGUUAAACAUGUGGUACAUUUUUCUUUUAUUCUUUGUAAGUGCUCCUGAUAAAAUAUAAAUUUUAUGUAGCUCAUACAGAUCUUGUUUCCCAGAUGAAACAUAAUGUGGAUUUUUAAAAGGGGCAAAAUAUCCUUCACAAACUCUAUUAAAAACAUUUUUUAAUGUUUAUCUAUUUUUGGGAAAGAGAUGGAGACAGAGCAUGAGCAGGGGAAGGGCAGAGAGAGGAGGAGACACAGAAUCCAAAGGAGACUCCAGGCUGUGAGCUGUCAGCACAGAGCCCAGCACAGGGCUUGAACCCACAAACUGUGAGAUCAUAAUCUGAGCUGAAGUCAGACGCUCAACUGAGCUACCCAGGCGCCUGCACAAACUCCAUUUUAAUGACUGUGUGGUUAUUUAUUUACACAACCAUUAAAUACUUCUUACACAUCUUAUGUCAGUUUCUAAUUGCUCGCAAGUUUAGGUACAAACUUAGCAUGGCUUCCAGGACUAUUCUUAAACUUUGCCUUGCCUCACACCAUGCUUUUUUUUUUUUUAAUUUUUAUUUAAUUUUUUUUUUAAUUUAAAUCCAAGUUAGCAUAUAGUGCAACAGUGAUUUCAGGAGUAGAUUCCUUAAUGCCCCUUACCAUUUAGCACAUCCCCACUCCCACAGCCCCUCCAGCAACCUUCUGUUUGUUCUCUGUAUUUGAGUCUCUAUGUUUUUGUCCCCCUCCUUGUUUUUAUAUUAUUUUUCCUUCCCUUCCCUUCCCUUAUGUUCAUUCUUUUGUAUCUUAAAGUCCUCAUAUGAGUGAAAUCAUAUGAUAUUUGUCUUUCUUUGACUAAUUUCACUUAGCAUAAUACCCUCUAGUUCUAUCCACAUAGUUGCGAAUGGCAAGAUUUCAUUCUUUUUGAUUGCCAAGUAAUACUCCAUUGUGUGUGUGUGUGUGCGCACACACACACACACACACACACACACACCACAUCUUCUUUAUCCAUUCAUCCAUUCAUCCAUUGGUGGACAUUUGGGCUCUUUCCAUACUUUGGCUGUUGUUGAUAGUGCUGCUAUAAACAUUGGGGUCCAUGUGUCCCUUCGAAACAGCACACCUGUAUCCCUUGGAUAAAUACCUAGUAGUGCAAUUGCUGGGUCGUAGGGUAGUUCUAUUUUUAAUUUUUUGAGGCACCUCCAUUCUGUUUUCCAGAGUGGCUGCACCAGUCUGCAUUCCCACCAGUAGUGCAAAAGAGAUCCUCUUUCUCCACAUCCUGGCCAAUGACUUUUGUUGCCUGAGUUGUUAAUGUUAGCCAUUCUGACAGGUGUGAGGUGGUAUCUCAUUGUGGUUUUGAUUUGUAUUUCCCUGAUGAUGAGUGAUGUGGAGCAUUUUUUCAUGUGUCAGUUGGCCAUCUGGAUGUUGUCUUUGGAGAAGUGUCUAUUCAUGUCUUUUGCCCAUUUCUUCACUGGAUUAUUUGUUUUUUGGGUGUUGAGUUUGAUAAGUUCUUUAUAGAUUUUGGGUACUAACCCUUUAUCUGAUAUGUCAUUUGCAAAUAUCUUCUCCCAUUCCAUCGGUUGCCUUUUUGUUUUGCCGAUUGUUCCCUUUGCUGUGCAGAAGCUUUUUAUUUUGAUGAGGUCCCGAUAGUUAAUUUUUGGUUUUGUUUCCCUUGCCUCUGGAGAUGUGUUGAGUAAGAAGUUGCUGUGGCCGUGGUCAAAGAGGCUUUUGCCUGCUUUCUCCUCGAGGAUUUUGAUGGCUUCCUGUCUUGCAUCCAUUUUGAGUUUGUUUUUGUGUAUGGUGUAAGAAGAAUGGUCCAGGUUCAUUUUUCUGUAUGUCACUGUCCAGUUUUCCCAGCACCACUUGCUGAAAAGACUGUCUUUAUUCCAUUGGAUAUUCUUUCCUGCUCUUCAAAGAUUGUUGGCCAUAUGUUUGUGGGUCCAUUUCUGGGUUCUCUAUUCUGUUCCAUUGAUCUGAGUGUCUGUUCUUGUGCCAGUACCAUACUGUCUUGAUGAUUACAGCUUUGUAAUACAGCUUGAAGUCCGACCCCAUGCUUUUCUCCUUCACAUUUUAGACUUCAGCUAUACGUACUUUCCAUGCAUCAUAUUCUCUCAUCUCCUGGGCUCUGCCCCUGCUCAUCAUUCUAACACAUUUUUAUUCUUUUUCUUCUCCAUUCCCUCUCUCCGCUUCUCCUACUCUUUUUUUCUAAUUAACACCUAUUAAUCUUUGAUGAAGGGAGGGUGUGUAGAUAGAAAAAUAGAGGGAGGCCUAGGAUGAAGUCCUGGAUACCUCAUUUAUAAAAGCAGAAAACCAGGAGAAGGAUGUUUAAAAAAAAAAAAAAAAAGAGAACUGGCCAAAGAGGAAACCCAGGAGAAUAUAGCAUCACAGAAAGUAAGCAAGGAAAUGUCAAAAUUUAGAGACCAACAGAACAGAGUCCAUAAAUAGACCCAUGCGUAUACUGUCAGUUGAUUUUGACAAAAGAAAUAAGGUAACUGAAGGAAAAAAAAAACCUCUUUUCAACAAAGGGGGCUGGAACAACCACAUAUCCAUUAGAAAGGAAGAACUUUAACUUUGACCUCACACCACAUAUAAAUAUUAAAAUAAAUCGUGGACCAAAAUGUAAGCAUUAAACUACAAAACUUCUAGAUGAAAACAUGGAAUAUAAUCUUCUGAGAUUUUGGAGUGGGCAAAUAAUUCUUAGGACACAAAAGCAUGAAUCAUAAGAAAACAUUUCAUAAAAUGAGCUUCAUUAAAAUUAAAACUUCUUGAACUCCAUUAAGAAAAUGAAAAGACUGGGGCGCCUGGGUGGCGCAGUCGGUUAAGCGUCCGACUUCAGCCAGGUCACGAUCUCGCGGUCUGUGAGUUCGAGCCCCGCGUCAGGCUCUGGGCUGAUGGCUUGGAUUGGAGCCUGGAGCCUGUUUCCGAUUCUGUGUCUCCCUUUCUCUCUGCCCCUCACCCGUUCAUGCUCUGUCUCUCUCUGUCCCAAAAAUAAAUAAAAAACGUUGAAAAAAAAUUAAAAAAAAAAAAAAAAGAAAAUGAAAACACAAGCCCACAUAAAGUGGGGAAAAAAAACAUAUGAUACAUAUAUGCAACCCAGGAUUUAUCUGGAAUGUAGAGAACGCUUGCAUCUCAAUAAGACAACCAGCCCAUAAAAAAUAAGCAAAAGAUUUGAACACUUUAUUAAAAAUAUAUGCAAUUUGUUAAUGAGAACACAAGAUAUUCAGUAUCAUUAGUCAUCAGGGAAAUGCAAGCUAUAACCACAAGAUGUCAGAAAACAUCUAUUAGACUAAAAUUAAAAAGACUGACAAUGACAAGCAUGGGUGAGGUGUGGACUAACAAGAACUCUCAUCAUUGCUACUAAGAAUGUAAAAUGGUACAUCCACUUUGGAAACAGGUUGAUAUUUCUUAUAAAUUUAAACAUAUACUUAACUUUAUGAUCCAGCAGUUCCAUUCUAAGCAUUGAUCUAAGUGAAACGAAAAUAUAUGUCCACACCAAGAUGAAUGUUUAUAGCAGCUUUAUUUGUAAAAGCUCCAGACCAGAAACAUCCCAAAUGUCUAUCAACAGGUAGAUGGAUAAACAAAUUGUAGCUCGUCUAUACAAUUUCCAUACUACUCACUAAUAAAAAGGAAUGAAUCACUGAUAGUUGCAAUAACAGAUAAAUCUCAAAAACUGCCGAGCAAAAUAAGUCAAAAGAAGAAUACAUCAUAUAUGAUUCCAUUAAUAUGAAACUCUAAGAAAAAUCUAAAUAUAUAGUAACAGCAUGUCCGUUGUUGUCUAGGGUCAGGAUGAUUGUGGGGUUAGAUUGGAAGGGGAAUAAAGGUAUCUUUUGGGGUGAUGGAGAGGUUCUAGAUGUUGUGGUAGUGAUGGGUACAGAGAUGUAUAUCAGAUUAUACACUUAAUAUGUGUACAUUUUAUUGGAAAUUAUACAUCAGUAAACUUGAUUUUCAAAAAUUGUUUCAAUUGCUACUGAGACUUUAGGUAAGUCAAGAACAGAGAAGGGACUUUGGAAAUGGCAAUAUUAGAAGUCUUGGGUGACUGCAUUAAGAAUGCUUUCAAUUAUGGAGGGGUGACGACCAAAACCUGAUUGAAAUGGAUUUAGUUAACAUACAGUGUUAUAUUAGUUUCAGGUGUACAAUAUAGUCAUUCAACAACUGUACAUUUCUCAGUGCUCCUCAUGAUAAAUGUACUAUUUAAUCCCAUCACCUAGUUCACCCAUCCCCCCCCACCCNCCCGGUAACCAUCAGUUCUCUAUAGUUAAGUCUGUUUCUUGGUUUGUCUCUUCUUUCUCCUUAGCUUUUGUUUCUUACAUUCCACAUAUGCAUGAAAUCCUAUGGUAUUUGUCUUUCCUGAUUGACUUAUUUCACUUAACAUUAUACUCUCCAGCUCCAUGUUGUUUCAAAUAGCAAAACUUCAUUCUUUUUUAUGACUGAGUAAUAUUCCAUUGUAUAUAUGUACCACAUCUUCUUUAUCCAUUCAUCUGUCAAUGGACACUUGGACUGCUGCCAUAAUUCAGUUAUUCUAAAUAAUGCUACCAUAAACAUAGGGAUGCACGUAUCCCUUUGAAAUAGUUUUUUGGUAUUCUUUGGGUAAAUAUGCAGUAGUGCAAUUACUAGAUUGUAGGGUAGUUCUGUUUUUAACUUUUUGAGGAAACUCCAUACGGUUUUCUAGAGUGGCUGCACCAGUUUGAAUUACAACCAACAAUGCACAAGAGUUCCUUUUUCUCCACAUCCUUACCAGCACUUAUUUCUUGUGUUUAUAUUGCCAUUCUGACAGGUGUGAGGUGAUAUCUCCUUGUACUUUCUUUUUUUAAUGUUUAUUUUGAGAGAGAGUGCACGCAAGUGGGGAGGGGCUGAGGUUAGUACAGAGGAUCCAAAGCAGGCUCUGUGCUGACAGCAGUGAGCCCAAUGUGGGGCUCAAACUCACCAACUGCAAGACCAUGACCUGAGCUGAAGUUGUAUGCUCAACCAAUUGAGCCACCCAGGUGCCCUGAUCUCAUUGUACUUUUGAUUUUAAAUUCCCUGAUGGUUGAGCAUCUUUUAAUGUGUCUGUUGGCCAUCUGUAGGUCUUCUUUGGAGAAAUGUCUGUUCAUGUCUUCUGACCAUUUUUAAUUGGAUUAUUUGUUUUUUGAGUGUUGCAUAAAUUCCCUAUAUAUUUUGGAUACUAAGCCUUUGUCAGACAUGUCAUUUGCAAAUAUCUUCUCCCUUUCAUUAGGUUGCCUUUCAGUUUUGUUUCCUUUGCUGUGCAGAAGCUUUUUACUUUGAUGUAAUCCCAGUAGUUUGUUUUUGCUUUUAUUUUUCUUGCCUCAGAGACAUAUAUAGAAAAAUGUUGCUAAAGCUGAUGGCAGAGAAAUUACUGCUUAUGUUCUUUUCCAGGAUUUUUGUAGUUUCAGGUUUCACAUUAAUCCAUUUUGAGUUUAUUUUUGGGUUUGGUGUAAGAAAGUGGUCCAGUUUCAUUCCUUUGCAUGUCGCUGUCCAGUUUUCCCAACACCAUUUGCUGAAGAGACUUUUUCACAUUGCAUAUUCUUGCCUCCUUUGUUGUAGAUUAAUUGACCACAUAAUUGUGGGUUUAUUUCUGGUCUUUCUGUUCUGUACUAUUGAUCUAGGUGUCUGUUUUUAUUCCAGUACCAUACUGUUUUGAUUACAACAGCUUUGUAAUGUAAUUUGAAGUCUGGGAUUGUGAUACCUCCAAUUUGGUUUUAAUUUUUCAAGAUUGCUUUGACUAUUCAAGGUCUUUUGUGGUUCCAUACAAAUUUUAGGAUUAUUUGUUCCAGUUCUGUGAAAAAUGCUGUUGGUAUUUUGAUAGAGAUUGCAUUAAUCCUGUAGAUUACUUUGGGUAGUAUGGACAUUUUAACAGUGUUUUUUCUCUCAACCAUGAGCAUGGAAUAUCUUUCCAUUUGUUUGUGUUGUCUCAAUUUCUUUCAUCUUUAUAGUUGUCAGAGUACAGGUCUUUCACCUCUUAAGCUUAGUCCUAAGUAUUUUACUGCUUUUGGAACAAUUGCAAAUGGGAUUGUUUUCUUAAUUUCACUUUCCCCUGCUUCAUUAUUAGUUACAGGAAUGCAGUAGAUUUCUAUACAUUGAUUUUGUAUCUUGCAACUUUACUAGAACUGACAAGUAAAUUCAGUAGUUUUUUGGUGGAGUCUUUAGGGUUUUUUAUAUGUGGUAUCAUGUGAAAGUUUUACUUCUUCCUUAUCAACUUGGAUGCCUUUUAUCUCUUUUUGUUGCCUUAUUGCAGUGGCUAGCACUUCCAGUGCUAUGUUGAAUAAAAGUAGGGAGAGUGCACAUCCCUGUCUUGCUCCUAACCUUAGAGGAAAAGCUCUCAGUUUUUCCCCAUGGUUAGAUGUGAGUUUUUCAUUUAAGGCCUUUAUUAUGUUGAGGUAUGUUCCCUCUAGACCUACUUUGUUGAGGGUUUUUAUCACGAAUGGAUGUUGUAUUUUGUCAAAUCCUUUUUCUACAACUACCAAAAGGAUCAUAUGGUUUUUAUCCUUUCUCUUAUUGAUGUGAUGUAUGACGUUGAUGGAUUUGUGACUGUUGAACCACCCUUGCAUGCUGGAAAUAAAUCCCACUUGAUUGUGGUGAGUGACUUUUUUAAAUGUAUUGUCGGAUUCAGUUUUUUAGUAUUUUGUUGAGGGUUUUCGCAUCUGUGUUCAUCAGAGAUAUUGGCUUAUAGUUGUCUUUGUGGGUGUGAGUGUGGUGUCUUUAUCUGGUUUUGGUAGCAGGGUAUUGGCCUCAUAGAAUGUAUUUGGAAGUGUUUUUUUCCUCUUUUACUUUUUGGAAUAGUUUGAGAAGAAUAGAUGUUGAUUCUUCUUUAAAUAUUUGGUAGAAUUUGCCUAUGAAGCCACCUGGUCCUGGACUUUUGUUUGUUGGGAGUUUUUUGAUUACUGAUUCAAUUUUAUUGCUUGUAAUUGGUCUGUUCAAAUUUUCUAUUUCUUCCUGUUUUAGUAGGCUGUGUUCUAGGAGUUUACCCAUUUCUUCUAGGUUGUCCACUUUGUUGGCAUAUAGUUUUUUAUAAGAUUCUCUUACAAUUGUUUGUAUUUCUUUAUUAAUUAUUACUUCUUUCUCAUUUGUGAUAUUAUUUGGGUCUUUUUUAUUUUGAUGCAUCUGGCUAGAGAUUUAUCCAUUUUGUUGAUCUUUUCAAAGAACCAGCUCCUGGUUUCAUGGAUCUGUUGUUUUUUUAUUUUCUAUAUCCUUUAUUUCAGCUCUAAUCUUUUAUUAUUUCCUUCCCUCUACUGGUUUUGGGCUUUGUUAUUUUUCUACCUCCUUUUGGUGUAAGGUUAGGUUAUUGGAGAUUUUUCUUCUUGAGGUAGGCCUAUGUUACUAUAAAAUUCCUAUAGAACAGCUUUUUCUGCAUCCCAGAGAUUUUGGACUAUUGUCUUUUCAUUUGUCUCUCUAUAUUUUUUGAUUCCACUAUGAUUUCUCAGUUGGCCCAUUCAUUGUUUAGUAGCAUAUUAUUUAACAUACAUGUAUUUGUGCUCUUUGCAGAUUUUUUCUUGUGGUUGAUUUCUAGUUUUAUACCAUUGUGAUCAGAAAAGAUGCAUGGUAUGACUUCAGUCUUUUCAAAUUUGUGGAGACUUGUUUUGUGGUCUGACCUGUGAGCUCUUCUGGAGAGUGUGGGUUGGGCUUUUUUUUUUUUUUAAUGUUUAUUUUUGAGAGAGCGAGUGCACAGGAGGGGCAGAGAGAGGAGGAGACAGAAUCCCAAGCAGGCCCCACGCUGCCAGUGCAGAGCCCGGUGCAGGGCUCAAACCCACAAAGUCAUGAGCUCAUGACCUGAGCUGAAACCAAGAGUAGGAUGCUUACCUGACUGAGCCACACAGGUGCCCCUAAAUUUUUAUAAUGUCUAUUUUUGAGAGGGAGAGAGAGUGUGCGUGCGUGUUGGGCAAGGGCAGAGAGAGAGGGAGACAGAGGAUCUGAAGUGGACUCUGUGCUAAUAGCAGAGAGCCCAACGUGGGGGCAAUGAGAUCAUGGCCUGAGCCAAAGUGGGACCCUUAACCAACUGAGCCACCCAGGUGCCCCCACCCCUUCACUCUCAACCUGCCUGUGUCUUUAGGUCUGAAAUUAUAGAUGGGUCUUGCUUGUUUAUCCAUUCCAUCAUCGUAUGUCUUGAUUAGAGCAUUUAGUCCAUUUACAGAAAAAUGGGCAUUUUAAAUAACAUAAUGUUGCUAUUCUGGAAAGCAGAUUCUCUUCACUCUCAGGAUGUGUUGUUGCUCUUUGUCUAGGGUUUUUCUGAACUAAAUGUGUAGUCUGUAGUGUCUUGUGUGGCUGAAGUCUCUGCUUGAUUAGCUUAGUGGUGAGCCAAUGAUUGGACACAGAUUUUCUUAGAUGUCUAGAAUCAUUAAGUCUUCCAGUCUUUGCAAAAGGGCCAUGUGUGUGUAUUGGCCAUGCCUUCAACAUUCAGCCAGGCAUUUACAACUCUGUUUUGCCUUUAACCUUGAGGCUCUACUCAAGCAGAAUGUAGCCAGAAGUGGGGAGUUAGGACCUUUUUAGCUCUUUCCUGAGCACGUGCAUGGCACUGGCCUUGCUUAUGCAUCUGCAUGGACUUCUACAUUCCCAGGAAUAAGUCAAAGCAUGUCAAAGCUCCAUAGAGAUAUCGUAUUCCUCAGUUUUUUCUUUUAACCCAGAGCUUUUUGGUUAUCCUAUUGUGUUUUGUUUUGUUGUUGUUGUUGUUGUUGUUGUUGUUGUUGUUUUAACAACCGGCUCCUUUCUGCUACUUCCAGUGGUUGCCAGGCUACUUGAUUUUAGCUAUGAUUGUGGGCUGUUGGUUUUCAUGGCCAGCAUAGGUGUUGGAUGGGAAUAGGGAUGUCAAAAGUCUCAUUGUUCUUGCCAUUUCCUCUUGAAAAUGUUUCCGAAUUGCUUAAAUCUUUGUUUUUCAGAGUUGAUGACAAGUUUUGCCAGUGUCCUCAUUGCUUUUAUAGAGAGUUUUCAGAGGUCCUUACUCUGUCAUUUUCACUGAUAUCACCCAUAUCUUCUUAAACUUAGAUUUUUAAACUGAAAAUAUAUUGUCAAGUGCAUUUUAAGAGGCCUAUUUAUAAACAACAUUGAUGUAGAUCUUCUAAUAGCCAAAUAUUUUAUUGUGUAAUGAGAUGUUGAGGAAAAAAAGGCAAUGAGGGAAUGAUGAAUUUAAUUUAUAUCCUAAUUCUAUAAGUGCUCUGACUAGGAGGUGUGUGUAAAUAUCAGCUUGGAAGAGGCUAAUGUAUUAAAUAAAGUAGAAAUAAAUAGCCAUAUUCUUCACGAUUCAUUAAGAAAAAAUUGGGAAUGUUAUUAGGAAUUAAGGUGGCCUCUGGCUAUGUUAAACAUGGAAGAAAUUCAACCUCCCUAGCUUCCUUUUAUUUUCCAACAAAUCACUUCAUAAGUCAGAACAAAAGCUCUCAUACCUUGUCUCUUUAACAUUAAAUUCCCAAAAGCUUAGUCUUAAAAAAAUGUGUACUGGGUCAUACCAUCAUCUGGCUAGUAGACAAUGAAACGCAGAACUGCAAUGUCUACCCUCUAAAGCAACAAUCAGUUCUGAGCCUUUGGCUGCCAUGACAUGCUUGAUAAAUGAUUCUCUCAGGUGGGAAACACUCUGAAGGGCACAUUCAUAUUUUGACAAACGUCUCCCAAAUUUGGAAGUCAUGCACUGUGAUGAUUUGUAAUCAUCAGAACAGUUUAACUGCCCAUCUGUAACGGUGGCUCUUUGUGAUAUAUUGCAGAGAUGAACUUGGGCUGUAGGGCAGGACAGUUCUCAGCAUUCUGGCUAUAAUGCCAUUCUGUUAUGUCCCAGAAUUCAUAGCUAUGUACAUAUUUAUAAUUUCAGCACAUUGGGCUCAGAAGACUUCAAGAAGAAGACAUCUACUGAAAAACUCUCACCUAGAAGAUAAUCUGGAAAUAUUUGGUAGGUUUUAGCUUAUUUUGAUAUAUGAAAGCCACAGCAAAUAUAGUUUUGUUAUUGAGACUAAAAUUUGGUUUUGUAUUUACUAUUCAAGAACUAAGACAAGUUUCUGGUGAAGCAUGACCGUUUGUAUAAGCAGAUGUGGAAGGGGGAAUUCUUGUUUUCCAUGCUUGAGCAGCAAGAACAGUAAUAGAAGUUCCUGUCGAUGGUUUUCAUUUCUGUUCCUUUUAAAGCGUAAUUAGAAUGACUGGUCUAUCAUGUAGGUUACAGUAUUUGCUAGUAAACAACUUAUUCAUAUGUUCCUUCUGAAAUGAUAAGAGUGAUGAAAAUGCAUGAGACUUUUCUGGAAUGAAUCAUUCAAGCAUCAUUUUUGAUGAUGAGAACUGAAUUAGAAAAGUGAAUACUUAUACAAGUUAAAUACAUUUAAAUGAAAGGACAUAUUUCCCUAUUGGGGGAUGAUGUCCUACUAUUAUCAUCCAUGGAUGAGAAUUACUGCUGCAAAUGAGUGGUCCCCAGAUUCACUGGGGGUGGGCAGAAAAUGUUAAACUUGUAUUUAUGUUAAUAUUUUUAGCUAACAAGGGAAACAAGUUAGACUUUACUAAUAAGGAAAAUUAGGUAACAGUGAUACUCCUACUUGAUUUGUAAGUCAAACACUUACCUGUGAUCUAUUGAAGCUGAGUAUUUUGAGGAAAGAAAAUUAUAUAUGCCAUAAUUGAUACGGAACAGCAAAUGCCAAAGGAUAGCCAAGACAUUCUGAUAGAAGCUAUCAGGGAACAAGAAGUCCUGUCCCCUUGACGGUCCUAGGUGGACUAAGAAUCAAACUGACAAAAAAAAAAAAAGAUUAACCAGAGAAAAUCUAAUUUAAUAGCAACACAUGGGGAACCUACCCAGACCUGGAAAUUCCAGAGACAGGCAAAAGGAGGUAUAUAGGUCAUCCUGAACUAAGGAGAAAAGGGUAGGGGUCUGGGAUUUCAGAGGAAAGGAUUGCACUUCACAAGAUAGAGCAGUUUGGUAAUUAGAUGUUUGCCCUGCCAUAUGGAUGGCUCACUCAGAUAAAAUUCAUCUCUGCUAAUCACCCUUGUUCUGGAGAAGACUGCCAAUUCAGACUCAUGUAGUCAAGGGAGGAGCGAAGAUUUCUCUUGAGCCCACAGGGUCUUGAUUGGCCUGAAAGGUUAUUCUGAGGGAAAGGCAAAGUGGUUCAUCUCCGGACAGCCCGCCUUGGGCCUGUUACCUCCUCUGAAACUUCCCUGAGGUUUCACACUUUAAAAUUUGAGCUGGUAGCAGAUACACCUAGCUAAAAGCCACGUCAGUGUAACCCACCCAGAAAAUCGUAAAGAGGCUACACUGAAAAUGGUAGAAAGGGCGGAGGUGCAGGAACCAAACCAGUCUGCGAGACUACCCACAAAUGGAAAGGACACCACGAGCAUGGAACAGCCCCCACACCAGGCGCCGCAGCCCCAGGGGUGCCUGCACUGGGAAGACAAGUCCUCCCUUGGCUUUGAAAACCAGAGGGACUUAACUUCAUGGAUGUUUAACAUAAGUGGGGCUUAAUAUCAGGAACUUUAAAAAAAUCAAUGGGCUCGACUCAGAGAGCUGGAGAGCAAUAGGAAACUGAGCCUCCACCCUUAGAGAGACUGCGUAAUAACCCUGCCCAAGUACUGCAUAGAAGCAGCAGUUUGAAAGGAGCCUGAGGCAUGUGAGAAGGAGGCAUAUUCACUAAUCUCAGAACUUGUGGUGGAAGUGGGGGGAUCUUUAGGAGACUUCUUCAAGAACAAAAGAGCUGACAGGGUCUUUUCUCUCCCCUGCCCCCCAGUCUAGAUACAUUGACACCUAUAGGAGCCAGCGUGGAAUGCUCAGCACCUACCUUGCUAACAACUUGCCUUGCCCCUGCAUUCUGCUGUACUGCCUCACUCCACAGGAGUUCCUCCAAAGUGGAUCCACAAGGGUCUCAUUGCACAAACAGCCUCAACAGGGGCCAAUACCACUCCAAAGUGACUCUUGCCCUGGGGGAAGGAGAAGAUGAACUGCUGUGUGUGGUCAAGGGCAGCCCCAGCAGGGUGCUGUGGGCACACAUCCAAUCUGACUGCCCCACCAACCAACAGAAACCUCAUAGGGGCAGCACAAAGAGAGUCCAGUAGUUCAGGGUCACUGCAGCCCCAGCAGAAGGCUGGAGUAGACGUCUCUCACUGCUGACCCUGCCCACCAACGAAAGCCUCUUGGGGACAACAUAGGGAGAGCCCUGGAGUUCAGUAUAACCACGGUUCCAGCAAAUGGGCUAAGGCAAGGAUCCAGCUGACCCAACUCAAGCCCAGACUGGCUCCUUAACAGCACAGGGACCAAACCCUGAUGACCAUGGGCAAAGAGGGCCAUUGCAGCCAACUGGACUGAAGGCACAUGUGGCUCAACCGCAACAGUGGGGCACAUGCAACACACGUAGGAGACACCUCUGAAGCACCAGGUUCUAGUGAAGAGAAAACCAAAAGCCCAGAGAGAAGAAUCUUGAAAUUAAAAAUACACUAGAGUAAAUAAAUAGUAGACUGGAGGAAGCAGAAGAACAGAGAAGCAAGCUCGAAGACAGUAAUGGACAGCAACCAACCUGAACAGGAAAAAGAAAAAAAAAAAUGAGACUAGGCCAAGAGAACUCAGCAACACCAUCAAGUGUAACAACAUCCACAUUUAGGGAUCCCAGAAGGAGAAGAGAGAAAAAAGGGGGCAAUAACUUUGAAUAAGUGUCUGAAAACUUCCCUAAUCUGGGGAAGGAAUUGGAAAUCUAGACUCAGGAGGCACAGAGAGCCACCAAAUACCAACCCAAGGAGAUCCUCCUCAAGACAAUUAAAAUGGCAAAAAAGUAGGGAUAAAUGGCAAAAAAGUAGGGAUAAUUUUAAAAGCAGCAAGAGAAAAAACAAUUACAUACAAGGGAAAUAUCGGGGUACCUGCGUGGCUCAGUUGGUGGAGCAUCCGACUCUUCGUCUCAGGGUUGUUAGUUCAAGCCCCUCAUUGAGCGUGGAGCCUACUGCACACACACAGGAAACUCCAUAAAGCUGUCAGAUUUUUCAGCAGAAACUUUGCAGGUCAGAAGGGAGUGGCAGGAUAUAUUCAAAGUGCUGAAAGAGAAAACCUGCAGCCAAGAAUACUCUAGCUAGCAAGACUAUCAUUCAGAAUAGAAGGAGAGAUAAAGAGUUUCUCAAGUAGAAGCUAAAAGGAGUUCUUGACUGCUAAAUCAGCCCUACAGGAAACACUAAAGGGAAUUCUUUGAGUGGAAAGGCAGGCCAUAAUCCUUUUCUUAGGAAAGGAAAAGAUUUCUCAGGUACAUGCAAACGUAAUAGAAGUAGAUCAGUCCCUUAUAAAACCAGUACAGGGGUUAAAGCACAAAAACAGUAAAAUCAGUUAGAUCUAUUUAAAAAGUCAAUAAAGGGAUUCACAAAGAAUGUAAAGUAUGAGCAUGCAGGGGAUAAGGGGAGUAAAAAUGCAGUGCUUUUAGAAUGGGUUCAAACUUAAACAGCCAUCAACCUAACAUGCAUAGGAUGUUAUAUACAAACCUAAUGGUAACCACAGUUCAAAAACCUAUAAUAGAUGUGCUUGGAUUCUUUUGGUUUUUUUUGCAGAUCAAAGGCAUCAAAGAAAGGCAUGAAACCACCGCCAGACAGCAAGAGGAGGAAAGAACAGAGAAGAACUGCAAAACAACCAUAGAACAAGUAACAAAAUGGCAAUAAGUACAUACCUAUCAAUGAUUACUUUGACUGUAAAUGGACUAAUUAAUCAAAAGACAUAGGGUGACUGAAUGGAUAAAAAAGGCCCAUCUAUAUGCUGUCUAUGAGACUCCUUUCAGAUCUAAACACACAGAUUGAAAGAGAUGGAAAAGAAUUUAUGAUGCAGAUGGAAGUGAAAAGAAAACUGGGGUAGCAAUACUUAGAUAAAAUAGACUUUAAAACAAAGACUGUAACAAGAGACAAAGAAGGACACUAUAUAAUAAGAGGAACAAUCCAACAAGAAAAUGUAACAAUUGUAAAUAUUUAUGCACCCAACAUGAGAGUACCCAAAUACAUAAGGCAACUAUUAACAAAAUAGUAAUACAAUAAUAUUAGGGGACUCUAACACCCUACUUACAUCAAUGGACAGAUCAUCCAGACAGGAAAAUCAACAAGGAAUCAGUAGCUCUUAAUGAUUGGACCAGGUGGAUCUAACAGAUAUAUUCAGAACAUUCCAUCCUAAAACAGUGGAAUACACAUUCUUUUCAAGUGCACAUGGGACAUUCUCCAGAAUAGAUCACAUGUUAGGCCAUAAGUCUCCCCAAAUUUAAGAAGACUAAAGUCAUACAGUGCGUCUUUUCCAGCCACAGUGGUAUCAAACCAGAAAUCAUCACAAGAGAAAACCUGGAAAGAACACAAAUAUAUGGAGGUUAAAUAACAUGUUACUAAGAAAUCAAAAAUGCAUGGAGACAAGUGAAAAUGAAAACACAACAGUCCAAAAUCUUUGGGAUGCAGCAGAAAGAGGGAAGAUUAUAGCAAUUCAGGCCUACCCUCAAGAGGCAAGAAAAAUCUCAAGCAACCUAACCUCAGACCUAAAAGGAGCUAGAAGAACAAAGUCUAAGGCCAGUGGAAAUAAGGAAAUAAAGAUUAGAGCAGAAAUGAAAUAGACUUAAACAAUAGAACAGAUCAACAAAACCAGGAGCUUUUUCUUUGAAAAGAUCAACAAAAUUGAUAAACCUUUAGACAGUUUCAUUAAAAAAAAAACCCAAAAAGGACUCAAAUUCAGAAAUGAAAGAACUAUCACCACCACAGAAAUACAAAGGAUUUUAGUUAUUAUGAAAAAGUGUAUGCCAAAUUGGACAACCUAGAAGAAAUGGAUAAAUUCCUAGAAACAUAGCCUCUCAAAACUAAAUCAGGCAUAGGAAAUUUACUAGUUACUGACAAUGAUUGAAUCAGUAAACAAAAAGCUCCCAAAAGUUUGGCACCGUAUAUCUUCUCAGGUGAAUUCUACCAAACAUUUAAAGAAGAGUUAAUAUCUAUUCUUCUUAAACUAUUCCAAAAAAUAGAAGAGGAAGGAUAACUUCUAAAUUCAUUCUAUAAGGCCAGCAUUAUUCUGAUACCAAAACCAGAUAAAGACACCACAAGAAAAGAACUAUAGGCCAAUAUCUCUGAUGAACAUAGAUACAAAAACUCUCAACCAACUAUUAGCAAACCAAAUCCCACAGCAAAAAAUUAAACCGCGAUCAAGUGGGAUUUAAAAAAUUCACCACGAUCAAGUGGGAUUUAUUCCAGAGAUGGAAUGUGGUCCAUUAUUCACAAAUCAAUGGGAUAUAUCACAUCAACAAGACAAAAGAUAAAAGCCAUGUGAUUGUUUCAAUAUAUGUAGAAGAAGCAUUUGACAAAGUACAACAUCCAUUAAAAAAUUCAAAGGUUUAGAGGGAAUAUACCUCAACAUAAUAAAGGCCAUUUGUGGAAAAACCCAAAACUAACAUCCUACUCACUGGUGUGAGUUUUCCCUCUAAGAAGGAUGUCCAUUCACCACUUUUAUUCAACAUAGUACUGGAAGUCCUAGCCACAGCAAUCAGACAAGAAAAUAAAAGGAAUCAAAAUCAGUAUAGAAGUAAAACUUUCACUAGUUGCAGAAGACAUUAUACUAUAUAUAGAAAAUUCUAAAGAAUUCACCAACAACCUGCUAGAACUGAUAAUUCGGUCAGGUCACAGGAUACAAAAAUCAAUAUACAGAAAUCUGUUGCAUUUCUGUACACUCAUUAAGCAGAAGAAAAAUUAAGAAAAUGGUCCUAUUUACUGUUGCACCAAAAGUAGAAUACAUAGUAAACUUAACCAAAGAGGUGAAAGACCUGUACUCUGAAAACUAUAAAAUAUUUAUGAAACAAAUUGAAGACAAUACAAACAAAAGGAAAUACGUUCAGUGCUCAUGAAUGAGAAUCUUGUUUAAAUGUCCAUGAUACCCAUAGCAAUGUACAGAUUUAAUACAAUCCCUAUCAAAAUACCAAAAGCAUUUUCCAUAGAACUAGAACAAAUAAUCCUAAAAUUUGUACAGAACCACAAAAGACCCUGAAUAGCCAAAGCAAUCUUGAAAAAGAGAAACAAAACUGGAGGUAUCACAAUUCCAAAUUUCAAGAUACACUACAAAGCUACAGUACUCGAAACAGUAUGGUACUUACACAAAAAUAGAUACAUAGAUCAAUGGAACAGAAUAGCCCCUAAAUCCACAAUUAUAUGGUCAAUUAAUCUACAACAAAGACAAGAAUAUAUAAUGGGAAAAGUCUCUUCAACAAAUGAUAUUGGGAAAACUGGACAGCUACAUAUGGAAGAAUGGAACUGGACCUCUUUAUUAUAACCAUACACAAAAACCCAAGAUGAAUUAAGGAUCUAAAUGUGAGACCUGAAACCAUAAAUAUCCUAGAAGAGAGCAUAGGCAGUAAUUUCUCUGCUGUAGUCUGUAACAGCAUUUUUCUAGAUAGGUCUCCUGAGGCAAGGGAAACCAAAGCAAAAAUAAAUUAUUGGGAUUACAUUAAAAAAAAAAAACCAAAAACUUCUGCACAGCAAAGGAAAUAAUCAACAAAACUAAAAGGCAACCCAUUGAAAGGCAGAAGAUACUUGCAAGUGACAUAUCCCUUAAAGAGUUGGUAUCCAAAAUAUAUAAAAGAGCUGAUACAACUCAACACCCAAAAAACAACUAAUCCAAUUCAAAAAUGUCAAAAAUGGGCAGAAGACAUGAAGAGACAUUUCUCCAAAGAAGACAUCCAGAUGCCCACAGAUAUAUGAAAAGAUGCUCAAAAUCAAUCAUCAGGGAAAUACAAAUCAAAACCACAAUGAGAUAUCACCUCCCGCCUGUAAAAAUGGCUAAAAUCAACAAUACAAGAAACACCAAGUGUUGGCAACGAUAUGGAGAAAAGAUAACCCUCUUGUACUAUUGGUGGGAAUACAACUGGUGCAGCCACUGUGGAUAACAGGAUGAAGAUUAUUCAAAACAAUUAAAAAUAGUAGCAGAAUUACUGGAUUAUAUGAUAAUUCUGAGUACCCACAGAAAACUAAAACACUAAAUUGAAAAGAUAUAUGCAUCCCUAUGUUUAAUGCAACAUUAUUUACAAGAGCCAAGAUAUAGAAGCAAUCCAAGGGUCCAUCCAUAGAUGAGUGGAUAAAGAAGAUGUGGUAUAUAUACAGUGGAAUAUUACUCUGCCAUAAAAAAGAAUGAGACCUUGCCAUUUGCAACAUGGAUGGAUCUAGAGGGUAUAAUUCUAAGUGAAGUCAGAGAAAGAUCCUAUGAUUUCACUGAUAUGUGGAAUUUCAGAAACAGAAGGGGGAAAAAAAAAAACCAAAAAGCAUACUCUUAACUGUGGAGAACAAAUGGAUGGUUACCAGAGGGGAGAUGAGGGAGUGAAAUAGGUGACGGGGAUUAAGAGUACACUUCUCAUGACGAGCACUGAGUAAUGUAUAGAAUUUUUGAAUCGUAUUGUACACACGAAAUAUUAUGUUAAUUACAUUUAGAUUAAAAAUAAAAAAUUAAAGAUACAA
RNAcentral lists this long non-coding RNA (70363 nucleotides) under Lynx pardinus (Iberian lynx). The record is from RNAcentral. Lineage: Eukaryota; Metazoa; Chordata; Mammalia; Carnivora; Felidae.